RNAcentral lists this long non-coding RNA (44897 nucleotides) under Capsicum annuum. RNAcentral describes it as "long non-coding RNA (CANN_LNC008073)". Lineage: Eukaryota; Viridiplantae; Streptophyta; Magnoliopsida; Solanales; Solanaceae. The record is from RNAcentral.
UUCAACCAAUUUCUUCUUUAUUAACUCCACUGUUGGGUCUGCUAGUGUAUGAACAAGACCUAGAGUCAUAAAAGAAGUCAUCCCCAACUCUUGCUCAGUAGGUACAAGCCAUGGAUGCAUAACCUAUAAAUAAAAGUAUAUAUAUUUAAAUCAAGUAAUACUUUGAAGUCAGUUGGGUAAUAUAUUAACACAAACAACAGAUGAACUUUUUGUUGUAACAGAUGAUUCAUCUGUUACGAUAGAUUAACCAUCUAUUACAAUAGACUACCCAUUUGUUGCAUAAGUUGCAGUAGAUGGUUAAUUUGUUAAGUCAGGUUUUGAGAACCAAAUCAAUAGAUGAGUAAUCUGUUGCAAAAAAUUACUUAUCUAUCUCAACAAAUUACCUAUUUGUUGCACUAGUUGUAAUAGACAGGCAAUCUAUUAAGAUAAAUUACAACAGAUGGUUCAUUUGUUGCAACAGAUGGCCCAUCUGUUUCAAUAUCUUUCUUUGAGUCAAAUUGUUCUACUUGAAAGAAGACUUACUGCAUCAUCCGAAGGGUUAAAGAGAUCAACCUCCUUAAGUUUGUGUUGCUCUUUGCAUCCAACCACCUACGGAUCCUUGGAUGAGAAAACUCAUUCGGGUAAUCCUUGACUUGCUUUUGGAGGUAAGGAAUGGCUUCAAAUACCCAAGCCUAAAAAUGUAAACAUGAAGCAAAUGAAAAAAGUCAUAAUAAUUAUUCAAUAAAAAUUAAUACAAGCGUAAAUAAAUUAUGAUUAAAUUUACCAUGAAAGCUUAAGGAAAGUCGUAUAAGCUGAUCGUCUUUGGGAAUAGUUUUGUCAAUAAAUAUUUAACAGUCAACUUAUAGAUUUCAUAUCCCUGGGAUAAAUGUUAAAUUUAUCCAAACCCAAAGCAAGCACUAACAAAUCAUCUUCAAUGACUUUGUUGAUAUCUCUUGGCAAUAUAACGGAAUGGACAAACCAAACUAAGCACAAUUGCUCCCUAUACUUCUUUGGUAUGUUUUUAUUCUUGAGAUCAUCCAUCAACCUCGUGGCUCUGUAGCCAUGUCCAACAAUUUCCAACAACCCAUCUAUUUUUUCAUUGCCUUUGUUGGUUUUGGUGGUUGGUAGCUUGGACAAUAUGUUGCCUUUAUUUGAUGGUAGUGGUUUGACUGUCCUGCUUUGAAAUGACCCAAACUAGGGAAUUGUCAUAAUGGUCAAUCCCAAGCCCAACCAGGACCGGGGAACCACCCCCGUUACCCAAUCCGACCACCAAACGCAUACCUUGAGUCGUCUAAAGUCCGAACAUAUAACAAGAUAGCGUAUUCACCCAUAUGGUGACUCUGGGAUAAGUUUAUAUCCGAGACCAACCCAAGAAAGUCCAACCACUAAAUAACCAACCCAAACCAAUGUGGAAACCAUAAUCCAAUAUCAUGAUAGUAAGUCAAUGUAUGUAUAUAUAUGAAACAUAACCAAUCCAUACCAUAACCAAGUCCACAGUUGUCCAUACAAAGCCUUUAACCAACCAAAGAGUACCUAGUUGGGACAUGCCUCCAACCAUAGCCAAAAACCAAAGUCUAUGAAAAAUAAGAGAUAUGUAAAGUAACCCAUGACAUAAAAUAGAUGCCUUCCGAACUAUGAAAGUUCUCCACUUCAAUCCAACAUCGAUAGUCCCCGAAUUAGAUCACUAAGAAUGAGAAGUAGAAUGGUCGGUCCCUGCAUAACGUGGGUAUACAGCCUCCCGAAGACAGGUUAGUAGGUGAACACUAGCAUACACUAAGGAUAGGGAUAAAAUCAUACCAUUUAUAAAACCAAGUAAAACCUUCCAUAAUGCAUACAACCAUUCAUAUAUACAUAACUAUGUCGGGAAAGGGAACUGGAUUUAACAUGCCUUGAAAACCUUUAUCUGGGCUGUGUAGCUUUACUAUCCUAAACUACUUACGAGCUAUAUGGGUUCAGCUCCCCUACUGAAAGGGCCCUAGUGCGUGUAGCCGCACGGCCAGGAAAGAAACCCUUGGGAUGACUAGUACAUCCUCCAAAUAUAGUGUGACAUCAAACACAUGGUCACCAAGACCAACCUCAUAUCGACAAAUAUGAGUUUCCAGUUUUGGUCCCCCAGGACCUCUACCUUCCACGACUUUGCUACACAUCCCGCCAUUAUUGCGCAAUUAAAACCAAUUUCCAAAUAACCAAUCCAUUUUCCAUUUAUUAACCAGGACAUUGAUAUUGGUAUCGUCAUACCAACACUUACUUACAAGUAUCAUCCAUAGCCAACCAUAUAGAGGUUUUAGGGGACUUUCAAAUGCCCUUCCAUUUACCAUGUUAAACUACUUGGGGAAUUCCAUGUGGCCCUCAAUCAUAACCAUUAGCCAUUUACCAUUCCAAUCCAUUUAAAUCAUGCGUAAUUCCUUUACCAAGUUUUAAAACAUACAAGAGUUCCAUUAAAAGUAGUCAAUGCUAUGAAAAUAUCUUUAUAAGCAUUUUGUCAAACACAUUGGGGUCAUAAUAUAACCAAAACCAAUUCUAUUAAUGCAUUAACUUGAGGAAUCUCCUUGUAUCCCGUAAGAGCUUUAAAAUAGACCAACUAUGACCAAAAAAACCUUUACCCUUUAAACUAUUCCAAUCUAUUUUAGACCAUGCCAAACAUUUAAAGCAUUUAUAUCAUUUAAACCAUUUAAUCCAUGCAAAACCAUCCAAAUCCAUUUAAGGUUCUAUUACUAAACCAAACUACGCAAGAAUUCCAAUAAAAGUUCAACAAUAAAGUCAAAACAUGCUUUGAGACAUUUUAUCAAACAUGUUGAGGGCAUACCUUUACCAAGACCAAAAUCAAUGCAUAAACCACCAUAAUUAGGGUUACUCAAGACCCAUUUGUUAAAUUAUUACCAACCAAUAACCAUAUAUGCAAACCAUUACCAAGAACAUAGUUUAAACCAAAACCAUACCAUAUGCAUCAUGAUUCAUAAUUCAAUGUUCAACAUAUAUUUCAAAAACCCCAAUUCAUGAUUCAUAAUUCAAUGUUUAAAACACAAUGUACAUGCCUCUAGUUUGAAAUAACAAUGGGGGAAGGAGUACAUGCCUUAUACAUGAAGAUUCACGAAAGAAAUCUCAACCUUUGAGCCCUUUGAAGAACAUAUGAAGAAACCCUAGCCUCCAAUCUUCAAAAGUUAGUUUGAGAGAGUAUUUGAGGUGUUUUAAUCCUUUAACAAGUAUUAUGGAAGGCUACUAAAGGUUAUAUUAUGUGAGGACAUAAGGAUUUAGGAGUAGGAAAUAUCCAAACUAAACUUGGCUUAAAAUUUAAAAUAAGUCACGUCCAGGGGUAUGACCCCCCUUACCACCCAUAACCUAGGGUACGAGUGGUUCCCCAACUCAUAUACAAACCUUGCCAUGAACUUUACCUACUGGUUUCUAUAUGACUCCACCUUCCUAAAUUAUACCUAAGGGUACGAGUGACACCCCCAAUCAUAUCCACGAGUCGUACCUAGGGCAAACUCUACAAGACCAAGACAAUCGCGCACCAUACAACUUGCCCUACACUACUCGUAUGCUCCUAUAUGACUCAUACCCUAGUGAGUCAUAUCUUGGGCAUUAGCCAAGCCAACCAUGCUGCCUGGGGUAUGAUUGAACCAUUAAGAUACUCCAAAAGUCAUAUUCAAGGGUACCAUUGGUACCCUUGAGUCAUACCAAGUCAAAAGGUCCAAAACUUGAGAAAUUUUACAAGGGUCCCAAUCUUAGGGUGUUGCAGUCUCCCCCACUAGGAUCAUUCAUCCUCAAAUGACCUGUAAGGGUAAUAACAAGCACAUAUAACACAUUAAAACACAUCAAACUUUCCUCUAACCAAAAUAGAGGACAAAAACAAAAAUCAAGAUGAGAAGAUCAUCACAUAUUCCAAGCAUGAUUUACACCCCAACACUUUUAUGCCGACCUCUAACUAAGUUAGAAAACAAAAAUGCAAGAGGAACUAUCCCUCACCUUUAACCAAGUUAGGAAACAAAGAUGUGUUGAAGAGCACGCACCUUACGCACGAAUUUUUGGAAUAAAUAACCAACGUGGAUCUUUGAAUUCCAUAUCAUUCUUUGCUCCCGAAUGACUUUCUAGAACCUUUAGUUCCACCAUAGAACAUUUACCGAAGCCAUAUUUUUCACUCACAACUGAAAAACUUACCAAUCCAAUAUCCUCAUCAGCGCCCCCUUAAGGAAUAAGGAAUCUGAGAUACCAAUGCCACACAACAGGAACAAACCAACCAAGGACCAUCAACACUUUACCCCAAUACAUAGAAUACCAGAUGAAUAGAACUUAUGCUAAAGAGAAAAUCCAUUUCAACUUAGAGUUUACCAAGGCACAUCACUAUAGGAGCUUGAGUCUAACUAUACACCACCACUUCUAUGUUCAAGCCUAGCCCAAACUCAAAAGGAGUUAACUUAGGCCACUGGGUUCUACUUCUUACCUCUAUCCUGGAACAUCGCUUGACUUUCAUCACCAUUAUAACAUGGGAACCAUGAGUAAAAGACACGGAUAAACCAUAUCCAACCACUAUAACUGAAACCCCCAACUAUAUCUCAAGUACCCAACACAACUAUUGGUCUAUCUACUAAUCACAAUAUUUAAGCCUAUGACUUGUAUACCCGCGGUAUGAUCUAUCCAUCAAAAGAUCUAACACCCUUUAUAACCUUCACAAGGUUUUCACCACCCAUUCCUUUCCUAACUAUUUCCCAUGACAACAACCUUAUGUUACCUUCUAAAACCUUAACUUUUAGUAGUCACCUUAGACUCUCCCCCACUUUGGGACUUCUAUAUUCCCUGUUUCAAUAUAUCGCCAUACUUCCCAAACCAUUACCAUCCUAGAAUAAGAAGAAUCAUUAAGGAUUCAAAGUGCAAGAAUUAUCCAUACCACCCAAGGCAAGACAAAGACCCCCGAAACAAGACAUGACACUAUAGGCAUGAAGUACUUUAUAAAAAUCACCUAAACCAUAAUGAGGAACCAUCCUAACAUAACCAUACUGUGAAAGGAGUCCUUAAGAAUGGACACUGAAAGAAACACAAAUACAUAUACCAUGAGUAACUUAACACAAAGUCAAGGCUCCAAGGAACAAGGCAAAUACAAAAUGUGAACCUUAGUCCUAAGCGCUAUAACAAUGCAUGCAACACUACUAGAGUAGCCUUUUUACCGAAAGAGAAGAGUAUCACCAGAAUAUGCAGAUCGACCUUUCCUUAAAGUCCAUCGCUAAAGGAGAAUUUUAGAUAAUCAUCAAUAUUCACCCCUUUACUCCUACAAGCAUAAUACUUUGCUCUAAUAGGUAUCACAGAAGACAUACACCAAGGAUGUUUGGUUCUCCCAUACCUAAAAUCUCAGUCAUCUCAAUGCUACCUAGAGCCUAAUACAGAUAUGCAAAAACCAUGAGACCCAAUCAAUUCCAAGGUUUCUAAUUAGACCAAAACUAUUUUAAACUAAACUAAGGCUACCAAGGCCUUUCAAAAACCAUUUGAAUCUAACCAAAGCCUAUCUAUGUUUCCUUAACUAUCUAUACAAUGCAAAGAUGCAAGAAUAGUCUAACAAUAUGACGAAAUUAUAUUCAAUGGCAAUUUCAUAAUUAUUUUAAGGGUAUAAAAUUUUAAAAACAAAAAUUAAGUAGUUGGGUAAUCUAUAGUACCCUGAAAUCCAUUUAAAAUUCCCAUACAUCCUACAAUGUUCAUUCAUAAAUAUUUGUAAAGCAUGAAUAAUACAUCAUAAUCCAUGGAAAAUAAAUUAAAUGAGUAAUCAUGUUAAAGACCUCAAUUGUGCCAAAACCCAAUUUCAAAACCAUGAAUUUAAUAAUCAAUUUCAUGCCAAUAAUAAAGUACAAGUAUAGGGACAAGGAUACAUGCAAGCUCCAUGAUCUAACUUGUCAAAUGACUAGAUCUCCAGUUCUUCCAUUCAACCUGAACUCCCAGCCAAUGUGGUACAACUCUCCCACUAUUGUAUUUCCUAAAUCAUCAACCUCAUCCAACCUACCAGUUUACCUCUACAACUCCCACAUUGCUAUUUUUGAUCAUACUCCCUUUUAUCAAAAUCAAGCAUCUUGAUUCAAGCCAAGUAUCUACCAACCACUAUGUGCCACUAGCAAAGUACCCUUAUAGAAUAUACAUAAGAAUGGUCUACCCCACAGGGAGGACACUUUAAAUUCCUUAGUCACCUACCGACAACCUAUCCAUUUCAAGGGAAAACCAUUCCCUUUAUGCAUGAAAGAACAAAACACUCCAUAGGGGAACAUUAAGACCUAUGAGACCUUUAUCUAAGAGAUCCCUUAAUUUCUCCUUGAGAUCUUUUAACUUCAUUAAAAUGAUUCUAUAAAGAAGGAAUAGAAAUUAGGAAAAAUGUAUGAAACAAGACCAACCCCAAACCAACCUCCCCAUUAUAAAGACACUAUAAGGGUUAUCAGAAAGGACCUCAGGAAAUUCAUCCACUAUCAAAACCAAACCAAAGAAAGACCUUUUGGGUUAGAAUAUUUAACUCGGAUCAAAUAAAAAAGAAACUCAUUGGAGAUCAGCCUCUAAGUUCUAAGAUAUAAUAUAACCUUUCCCUUAUUAACUAGGGAAUGAAACCAUCAUCCCAUUCUAAAACUGACUUACUAGAAAGCCUAAUAAGUCUGAUAAUCUAAUUAAUGAAAACACAAGUACAACCAAUCCAUCCCCUGAAUAACAUCAAAAUCCACCACAUAUAAGUAAAAAAAAUCCACCAUGAAUCCUUUAUUACCAACAAAUACCACACACUGAUGUUGGGUGUAUUUAUGCACUUUAAUAUUGCUAUUCUAGCCUAUUUACCCUUGUUUUGAGGAUAAUUCAUGUGCUUUAUGUGUGAUGAUGAUAUAAAUAAGCAUAUAACUGUUCAAGGACGUGUUUACAAUGGUUAAAAGUUCUUUGAAAAGUGUCAGCUUAAAUCAUUCAAUUAGAGUUUAGAUGAGAAAAUUGGUUAUCCUAGCUUGAGCUAGGUGAUUGUUCUAGGUAGUCUCGGUGGAUUCUAAUGUGUUAAAUAAGUUCCUAGUGGUUUUAUUGUGUAAUUAUUUGUGAAAUAACUUGUUUAUGAUGUGAAAAGUGUAAUCAAAUCAAGUCAAGAGCAAAAAUAAAAUGUUAAAGAUUAAGCGAGCAAGCCUAGUCUUAGCUCGUGUUUCUUGCUCAUCAUUGUGAAUGUUUUGUUGUAUUGAGAUCUAAUCCAUGGUGUUUGAUGAUGUAGGAUGAUCUUGGAGUUGAUUAUGGUGAUAUAUGGAUGUCAACAUGCUUGAAAUUAAAGGUAAAACAAUACCAAAAGCUUGGAAUAGAAGACAAAGUAAUGUCACAAAGAAUGGGACAAAAGGUUGGACGUUGAACGCUUAGAAAAUAUUUUGAGGGAAACUUCCAGUAGCUGCAGGAGAUUAGCAUGAAAAUAAGUCUCUAUAUCAGGCUUAUUUGCCUUAGAAAAAUUGGUGAAGUAAAAUUCCAGUAGCACCGUGAAAAUAGCCCACGACGCAUGGUCCAUCCUGGUAGAGAAUAACACAUGUCACAUGCUCUAAUUCACUGCAGCCAAGCCAACAUCGCAUGCUUCAUUUCAAUGCUCUAUUUUUGUGCUUGGAAGUAUGUGACAUCUUUGAAUCCUAUAAGGUUUAGGAUAAGCUUAUUAUAUACACACACACAUUACACACUUUAUGGGUAACAUGUAUUCAAUUAUUUAGCUUUUAAUUAUAUCAUAACAUGUAUUCAAUUAUUUAGCUUUUAAUUAUAUCAUAACAUGUAUUCAAUUAUUUGUAUCAUGAUUAUGAGUAUUAGUGGCUAAAAACUCCAUUUCUGGGGUUAAAGCCAAGAACAUGACUACAAUCGUUUUGGAUUUAUUUUGUUGGAUUUGAUUAUCAUAUUUGGUUGCUUGUUUAUUCUUAUUUUUAUUAUUUUGAGGAUUGAUCACCCUUAGAAUAUAUAUAUUGUUGACCUUUUUAACUCGGGAGAGGGAAUAGGGACAUAGAAUAUGGGGAUAAAUAAAGUAGGGUUUGUAUUCUUUUAUAAAAUGAGGAAUUCAAAUUAGCGUCUAGGACAGGGAUAUACCUAGAAGCCAUACUUGAUUCAUACAUAGGAUGAUAGCUUUAGUAACUUAAUUGGAUUAUUACAUCCCUUUUCAACGAUAUAGUUGUAAUAUCCAAGUUAGGUAAAUGAUUAGAGGUUGAGAGACCAUAAUCAUGAAAUUAACCCUACGAAUCAACAACCAAGAUAAAUAGUUAAUGAAUGAAGUUCAAUAACAUAGUAUGAUUGUUUGAAGUGCUUUAACAUUGGGCUUUACUCUAUUAAUUGUCUCAAGUUCUUUAUUUUACGCAUUGUUUACUUUACUUGCAAUUUACAAUAUUCAAAUCUCUAUUUUGGUUACACUUUCAUCAAUUAAUAUAAAUUGUGAACUAGAAUUGAAUAGUCAUUAAAAAAGUCCUUGUGGGAUCGAUAUUCGACUUUCUUAAAGGCUAUUGUAGUACUUGGUAGACUACGUACACUUGUGUGUGCGCUUGGGUGCUGUUAUAUUUUUGGCGCUGUUGUUGGGGACUUGUAAUUUGGAAACUAUUUUAUUUUAGCUUUUCUUUUUAGUUUUCUUUGGUAUUUUUUGUUUGGUCCUGUUUUGUAUUUGCCUGAAUAGGUUUUCAAAGAAGUAAGCUGACAAGGGAUCAAGAAUUGGUUGAAACAAGCCCCAAACUCGAGUAACUCUUCCAUCAACGGAGGAAAGGAGUAAUCCUUCUCCCCCAAAUUCCAAAAAUCCAAGAAGAUCAAGAUAAUCUUGCUUUCAUGGCUGAGGAACAAGCAGUCCGAAAGACAGUUAUAGAAGUAGCAAUCCCACUUAUAAUAAAUUUGACCUCACCUUCUCAGAAACCAGCUGCUGGAGGGAGGUUCGAGCUAAAGAACAAUGUAGUGCAGCUGUAGAUUAGCAGUGGAAAGUUACAGGGCUUACACAUGAAGAUCCAUAGGUCCACUUGUAGAACUUCAUUGAGCUCACUGACACAUUCAUUUUGAUAGAUGUGAAUUCAAUCACAUCACAGGAUGGCUUAGCCCGAAAGUUUUUCAUCAAAUUUUUUUCGUAUGGGAAGACUGCAAAACUUCAUAGUGAGAUAGUUAGCUUCAAACAAAGAGAAGAUGAGAACCUCUAUCAUGCUUAGAAGCAAUUCAAGGCGCUUCUUUGGGAAUGUCCAUAUCAUUAAUAGUCUAAUAAGGUACUUUAUCAUACUUUUAUAGAAGCAUUUGACCACAACACAAAAAUUUUGCUAGAUUCAACUGUAGGUGAUCAAGCGCUAGAGUUGACUUAUGAUGAGCUGUACACCUUAUUGAACCACACCGAACAAUGAAAUACAGAGUGUCAUAUUAAUUGUAGGAGUGCCAGGAAGAAAGUUACAGGUGUGUUAGAGGUGGACCAAUACAUUACUUUAUCAGCUCAGCUUUAUGUAUUACAAAAUUUGAUAAACACUCUGUUCAGCAGCUUAAAAGUGGGAGCUACACAAUCCACAAUAGCAAUUAAUGUAGUUUAGUAGAUCAGUGGUUAGUGUGAGGUUUGUGGCAACGAUGGUCAUUCAAUGGCUAUGUGUGCUGCCAAUCCUAAGUCUGUGAUGUAUGUCAAAAAUGCUCAAAGUUAGAAUUAUGGGAACACCUACAACAUGAAGUGGCAGACUCAGCCACUCAAUCAUCCCUGGAAUGCCUAACAACAACAAAUUCAGCAACCAUAGGCACAAGAAAAUUAGUCAACUCGUAACUUGAAAGAGACGAUGAAACUGAUUCUAACUAAUCAAACACAGUUGGCUGCAGAUGUAAAAAAUCAGCAAGUGGCCACAAGAAGCUUAGAGUUGCAGUUGGGGAAAUUAUCACUGACACUAAAUUCCAGGCUGCAAGAUGGUUUUCCAGGAGAUACUUACAAUCCAAAAUAAGUUAUGACAAUUAUGUUGAGGAGUGGUAAAGAGAUUAACGAAGAGAAUCCUAAGAAAAUUAAGGAGGUAGAUGCAAAUUUGACUCCCCAAUAUGUUACUGAAAAAGUUGUUGAAAAGUCAUGAAAGUCUAAGUACUUGAAAGAAAAAGUUUCUAAAAAAGUACAGAUCCCACCACUGCCUUUCCCACAGUAGUGUAUUCAGGCAAAAGAGGAUGCGUGUUUUAAGAAGUUCUUUGACAUGUUCAGAGAUCUUCACAAUAAUUUUCCUCUUUUAGAUAUUUUGUAGAGAAUUCCCAAGUAUGCUAAGUACUUGAGAGAUGUGGUUGCUAAUAAAGUUAAGUUGGAGGAUGUGGAGGUGGUAGCACUCACCGAGGAGUGUAGUUUUGUGGUUAUGCAAAAGAUGCCUAAAAAGCUUUAGAAACCCUAGAAGUUCACUUUCCUCAUUCAGAUUGGCAAUAACGAGGUAGUUCAGGAACUUAGUGGUUUAGGGGAAAGUAUCAACUUGCUGCCCCUAUCCUUUUUCAACAUAUUGGGCUUAGGCAAUCCUAGACCAAGCUCAGUACUACUACAGCUUGCAUACGAGACCAUAUCCCAUCCCGAAGGAGUUAUAGAGGAUGUUCUUAUAAAGGUUGGUAAAUUUAUUAUUCCUGCUGACUUUAUUGUUCUAGAUUUUUAGGCAGAUGAAUAGGUACCAAUCAUCUUGGGAUAUCUAUUUUUAGAAAUGGGAGGAGAUUUGAUUAAUGUGAGAGAGGGCACACUCACAAUGUGGUUGGAUGAUGAAGAGGUGGUAUUUAAAGUGUACAAACCUCUUAACAAACUAUCCCACUAUAAAGACUUGUGUAUGAUUACUGUGAUUGAAGGGGAUAAGUGUGGGGUUGUGGAGUCUACUCCAUAAAAGACCUUAUUGAAGUGUGUGCUGGUGAUGUUGGGUGUAUUUAUGUACUCUAAUGUUGCUAUUCUAGCCUAUUUAUCCUUAUUUUUAGGAUAUUCAUGUGUUUUAUGUGUGAUGGUGAUAUAAAAAAGCAUAGAACUAUUCAUGGAUGUGUUUACAAUGGUUAAAAGUGUUUUCAAACAAUUGUGGGCUUAAAUCGUUCAAUUAGAGUUUAGAUGAGAAAACUAGUUAUACUAGCUUGAUCUAGGUGAUUGUUCUAGGUAAUAUCGGUGGAUUCUAAUGUGUCAAAUGAGUUCCUAAUGGUUUUAUUGUUUAAUUAUGUGUGGAAAAACUUUUUUUUUAAUGUGAAAAGUGUAAUCUAACCAAGUAAAGAGCAAAAAUAAAAUGUUAAAGAUUAAGCGAACAAGCCUAGUCUUAGCUCGUGUUUCUUGCUUAUCGUUGUGAAUGUUUUGUUGUAUUGAGCUAUAAUACAUGGUGUUUGAAGAUGUAUUCUUUUGGAGUUGAUUAUGGUGAUAUAUGGAUGUCUAACAUUCUGGAAGUUAAAGGGAAAACAAAACCAAAAGCUUGAAGGGGAAGGCAAAGUAACGUCACAAGGCAUGGGACAAAAAGUUGGACGUUGAAAACUUAGAAAAUAUUUUGAUGGCAACUUCCAGGGACAAAAAGAAACCCUUACUUUUGCUGCCCAAGGUAAGUGAAAAAACUUAUGGUUUAGCUUAAUUAUCUCAUUGAAGAUUAGAAAAAUAUGCUAUAGGUGCCUGAUUAUAAAUAUAUGGCAGAAUAUAGAACAAGCUACUUACUCACUUUUUCUUUGUUAUUAAGAGAUCUCUUUUCUUCUUUGGUUUAAAGUGUGAAGGAAAGUGAAAGUUGAAGUUUUGAGGAGUUCAAAUUAAGAGAAUAAGUUGUAGAACUGAGGUAAGGUGACUGCUCCAUUUUGUUCUCCUUGUAUGUGAAUUCGAAAGAGAAUUAUGGAUAUGUUGUUAUUGAGAACUCAAGAGAUGAUGAGUUCAAUAAUUGAUUGCUACAAUAAAAAAGAUUUGAGGCUGUUUUGUGGACUAUUUUGUAUGUAUAUUUUAUGGGCUAAUAGGUUGAUGUUGGAGAAAGGUAUGAUUAGUUUGUAGUGAAAUAUAGAGAAAAGGUGUGAUGGUACACCACCAAACCAAUUAUUGCAUUUGUUUACUGCCCAAUCUGUUUUGAGUAUUGUUUGGAAUGUGUAAUGAAGCCGAGGUGGUUUUGGUGAAUCUUACAAGAACCUUUAUGGUAUGUGCGUGUAAUUGGAGGAGAAAAGGGUUAAAAUAAUACCCUUGAUUGAUAGAUUAAUGGCUUAAUGCCCGGUUACUAUUUUGGGUAAAGUUAAGUAGCAUAAAUGUUUUAGUUGGUUGGUAAUUCUAAUUUACCAUAUAUUCUAUUGUAGAUUAGUAAUCUAAAAGGUGGGAAGUCAAGUCGGGUUAGUUUCGGAGCUAUAUAACCAGGUAUGUAACACAUACUCGAUUUUACGCUCUUUGGCAUGAAAUUAGAUGUUUGUUCUAUGAAGUAAGCUUCCAAGGUUAUCCUAUAACAAGUGAUACAUAAUAGCAGCACAUUACAUUCCAUGUAGACAAUGACCUUGUUCCCACUCUCUAACAUGUUAAAACACCUCAAUACAUGCUUAUUAUUAAACCUGCACGUCUAUUUUCACUAGAGAAUUUCAGGAGUUUUUCGUUUACUCAAAUAAUACCCAUGUCUUAUUUUCAGCUCCUAAACACUUUAUUUGUGUGCCAACAUCUCCCUACCUCAUUGUUUUUUGAUUAAGUGCCCAUUUACAUGUCUCUUAUUGGUAGAUCACUAUUUCAAGAUACCGUAAUGUUAUGACCACCAAAGUAACAAUCUCAAAGGCUAAAUAAACUAAGUAACAUAAAUCUGUAAAAUGAGUGGCAGCUCAGGGGAAUAAGCCUAGCAUGAGCCGAUCUCAAUACCUUUAUAUGGGUGGCGGCUAAGGGGCGUAAGCCUAGCAUGGGCCAAUCCCAAUCCUUAUAUAUGGGUGGUAGCUCAGGGGUAAAGCCUAGCAUGGACCGAUCCCUACAUAGAUUUAUGGGUGGUAGCCCAGGGGUGGAAGGAACACCUAGUAUGGGUCGAUCCCAUUAUCGGGUGGUAUUCCAGGGGUGAAAGAAAAGCUUAGAAUUGGUCAAUCCCGAUUUGUAAAUUAUUGAGGAACGUAUCCCAGGGGUAUAACUCAUAGCAUGGGUCAUUCUCUUUUACCACUGAUCAGCUGGUUAUAUGUAUCAUAUGGCUUAUAAAGAUUAUAAGGCAAACAAGAGUAGUAAAGAAAAUCAUGUAAUGUACAGUAUUCCACAAGUGUAAGUAAAGGGGGUCAUUCAUCCUUAUCUAUAUAUUUAUAUAUUGAUCCAUGAUUUUAUUAAUUCCUUAUUUCACGUAUGGUUAUCUUAUGCCUUACAUAUUUAGUACAUUAGUUUGUACUGACGUCCCUCAUGGGGGACCAGUGUUCCAUAUUGCAGGCACAAGUUCUUAGCUGGUAGAUCUCCCUAAUAGAAGAACAGGAUACUCAGCGGCUGUUGGUGAGGUCCAGGUUGAUUCGGGGCCUUGCUGAGUUUUUACCAUAUAUAUUUUGAUGGUUUUACAGUCAUGGAUUCCAUUAGAGUCUUUGUAGACAUUGUAAAGUAGUCAUAUGUAUUCAUAGAUUCACAUGUCAUCUAUAUCGGUUUGGCUAAUUGGUUGGUUUGUAUAUACAACUUUUUUAUCAGCGAUUCAUUAGUAUAGUGAUUCUUUUUCUCAUCUAGUUUAUUUUUAUAGUAUGUGUUCCUUUAGUUAUUGUCCGCCUCAUCCAGUAUUAGGGUGUGAUAGUAAAGUUAUGGUAGUGUAUUUCCUUUAGACGUGGUGGCCCCAACGGCCAAGUGUUGUAUAUAUAAGUUUGUGCUUGCCUAUGUAAUUAUUCUCAUCGAUACAUAAUAUCAUAUUUGUCAGAACCUUUGGUUGUCAUAGUUAUAUGCAUGAGAAGUACAAGGUUAUGAAUUGGUUAUCUCAAGCCUUUACGGCUACGGGUGACUGUCCGCCCCAAUAGGAUUUGAGGUGUGACAGCAUGAUCCAUCCCAGUGGAGAAUAGCAUGCAACACAUGCUCUAUACCCAUGCUCCCAUGCAUGCGCAACAUGCUCUAAUUCACUGCGAUCAAGCCAGUGUCACAUGCUUCAUUUCAAUGCUAUAGUUUGGUGCUUAAAAGAAUAUGACAUCUUUUAUUUCUAUAUGGUUUAGGAUUAGCUUAUUAUAUAUACACACACGUUACACACUUAGAGGGGAAUCUUGUAAUCUUGGACGGCUUGGACAAAAUUAGAGGCUGCUGCACAUUAUUUUAGGAUUUAAUCUUCUAUUUAUUUAGCUUUUAAUUAUAGUAUAACAUGUAUUCAAUUAUUUUGAUCCGGAUUAUGAAUAUUAGUUGCUAAAAACUUCCUUUCCGGGGUUAAAUCCAAGAACAUGAAUACUAUCGUUUUGGAUUAAUUUCGUUGUAUUUACUUAUCAUAUUUGGUUGCUUAUUUAUUCUUGUUUUAAUUAUUUUGAGGAUUGAUCACCUCAUAAUACAUAUAUUGUCAACCUUUUGAUCUCGGGAGAGGGAUUAGGGAGAGAGAACAUGGGGAUAAACAAAGUAAGGUUUGUAUUCUUUUAUAAAAUAAGGUAUUCAAAUUAGUGUCUAGGAUAGGGAUGUACCUAAAAGCCUUACUUGAUUCACACAUAGGAAGAUAGCUUUAAGCAUUUAAUUGGAUUAUUACAUCACAACUCAACGAUGUAGUUGUAAUGUCCAAGUUAGGUAAAAGAUUAGAGGUCGGGAGACCAUGAUCAUGCGAUUAAACCUACGAAUCAACAUUCAAGAUAAGCGAAUUUACGAAUGAAGUUCAAUAACAUAGUAUGAUUGUUCUAAGUGCUUUAACCCUGGGCUUUACUGUAUUGAUUGUCUUAAGUCCUUUAUCUUAUGCAUUGUUUACUUUACUUGCUAUUUAAAAUAUUCAAAACUCUAUUUUGGUUACUCUUGCAUCAAUUAAUCUAAAUUGUGAAAUAGAAUUGAAUAGUCGUUAAAAUAAGUCCCUAUGAGAUCGGUAUACAGUUUUCUUGAAGGCCACUAAUUACUUGGUAGACCACGAACACUUGUGUGUGUGCUUGAGUGCUAUCACACACCCCUAUAAACUCUUUUGUCAAUCGAAGAGUCACCUACCGGGGUAGAAACAGAAGAAGAAAAGAGUCCAAAAUAACCUUGGGAGCACAUCCAGAAUACACAACCAUAAAUAGUUCCAAAAAGGAUAGAGGACCCAAACCAAGUAAACCAUACACACCAUGAAGAAAAGGAUUUUUCAAUGUACCAGCAUCGACAUUAAAAGAUGCCUUGGAUUCCUUAGGAAUAGUAAGAACAUUGAGACAAUCUCGACCACUACCGGAGCCAGAGGUAGUAGACAAUACUCUAUUUGCCCAAGUGGCAACCCUUAUAGGACAUCCCCAUCACACGAUACCCAACUGACCACAACUAAAAUAUUAAUUCCUUCCUCCCUCACAACAGCCACGGUACGACCAACCACUUAAUCUAUAAACAAAUUAGGAUGAUGAGGAUUGGGUUCCACUGGGUAAACCAGAAGUUGCGACCCUUGACCGGGUCUGUGCUCCAUGAGUUAGGAUAGAUCUAUCCAUAUUGUUUUUGAGUAGAACAGGUAGGUUUCCACUACUUUAUAUUAUUAAGAAGACAUGAUCCAAAGAGUGAAUCAAGGAAGAUUUAGAGAAGUGUUCAAGACCUUAGAUUUCAUAUCCUGAAAGUAGAAUAACCAAGAAAGUGUAACAUUCGAAAUGCCUCGUAGCCUCCUGAUUAUAAGUGUGGUGCACAACACACCCAUAAGAAAAACUCUACUCAACACGGCUUUGUGGACACCCCAUGACACCGAAACCUAAAGCUCUGAUACCAACUUAACACGACCAAAACUAGGGCCUUGUCAUAGUGGGCAAUCCCAAGCCCAACUAGGACUGGGGAACCGCCCCCGUUACCCAACCCGACAACCAAACGCAUACCUCAAGUCAGCUGAAGUUCAAACAUAUAACAGGAUAGCGUAUUCACCCAUGUGGUGACUCCGGGAUAAGUCUAUAUUCGAGACCAACCCAAGAAAGCACAACCACUAAUUAACCAACCCAAACCAAUGCAAAAACCAUAAGCUAAUAUAAUGAUAUUAAGUUAAUGUAUGUAUGUUUAUGAAACGUAACCAAUCCAUACCAUACCCAAGUCUACAAUUGUCCAUACAAAGCCUCUAGACCAACUAAAGAGUACCUAGUUGGGACAUUCCCUCGGCCAUAGCCAAAAACCAAAGUAUAUGAAAGACAAAAGAUAUGUAAGGUAAUCCAUGACAUGAAAUAGAUGCCUUCCGAACUAUGGAAGAUCACCAUUUAAAUCUAACAUCUACUGUCCCCGAAUUCAAUCUCUAAGUACAAGAAGUAAAAUAGUCCGUCCUCCUAGCGUGGGUACACAGCCGCCCGAAGAUAGGCUAGUGGAUGAACACUAGCAUGCACUUAGGAUAAGGGUAAAAUAAUUUCAUUUAUAAAACCAAGUAAAAUCAUCCAUAAUGCAUAAAACCAUACAUAUAUACAUAACCAUGCCAGGAAAGGGAAUCGGGUUUAGCUUGCCUUUAAAACCUUUACCAGGGUUGUGUAACUUUGCCUUCCUAAGCUACCCACGAGUUAUAUGGGUUCAUCUCCCCUUGCUGAAAGGGACCCAGUGCAUAUAGCCGCAUGACCAGGGAAGAACCCUUAGGAUGACUAGUACAUCCCCCAAACAUAGUGUGACAUCAUGCACACAGUCAUCAAGAUCAACCUCAUAUCAGAAAAUAUAAGUUUCCAAUUUUUGUCCCCUCGAACCUCCACCUUCCAUGUCUUUGCUACAUAUCCUGCCAUUAUUGCCUAAUUAAAACCAAUUUCCAAAUAACCAAACUAUUUUUCAUUUAUUAACCAAGGCCAUUGAUAUUGGUAUCAUUAUACCAACCCAUAUCUUUAUAAGCAUUUUGUCAAACACAUUGCGGGCAUGAUAUGAACAAAACCAAUUCCAUUAAUGCAUUCACUUGAGGAAUCACUGUGUAUCCUACAAGGUAUUUAGAAUAGACCAACCAUGACCACCAAAACUUUUACCCGUUACACUAUUUCAAACCAUUUUAUACCAUGCCAAACAUUUAAAACAUUUAUAUCAUUUAGACAACUUAAGCCAUACAAAACCAUCCAAAUCCAUUUAAGGUUCCAUUACCAAACCAAACCAUGCAAGAAUUCCAAUAAAAGUUCAACAAUAGAGUCAAAAUAUUCUUUGAGGCAUUUUAUCAAACAUGUUGAGGAAAUACCUUUACCAAGACUUAAAUCAUUGUAUAAACCGCCAUAAUUAGGGUUACUCAAGACCGAUUUGUAAAUAAUAACCAACCAAUAAUCAUAUAUAAAAUCCAUUACCAAAAACAUGCAAGAACAUAGUUUAAACCAAUACCAAACCAUAUGCAUCAAGAUCCUCAACAUAUAUUUCAAAACCCCUCAUUCAUGAUUCAUAUAUUCAAUGUUUAAAACACAAUACACACACCUUUAGUUGGGAAUAACAAUGAGGAAAGGAGUACAUGCCUUAUAUAUGAAGAUUCAUGAAAGAAAUCUCAACCAUUGAACCCUUUGAAGAACACAUGAAAAAACCUUAGCCUCCAAUCUUUAAGAGUAAGUUUGAGAGAGUAUUUGAGGUGUUUUAAAUCUUUAACGAGUGUUAUGGAAGGUUACCAAAGGUUGUAUUACAUGAGGACAUAAGGGUUAGGAGUAGGAAUUGUCCAAACUAACCUUGGCUUAAAAUUUAAAACAAGUCACGUCCAGGGGUAUGACUCUCCCUUACCACUCAUACCCAAGGGUACGAGUAGUACCCCAAUUCUUACCCAAACCUUGCCAUGACCUUACCUACUGGAUUCUAUAUGGAUCCACCUUCUUAACUCAUACCUAAGGGUACGAUUGAUACUCCCAAUCAUAUCUACCAGUUAUACGUAGGGCAGACUCCAUAAGACCAAGAUAAUUAUGCACCAUAUGACUUACCCCAUACUACUCGUAUGCUCCUAUAGGACUCGUACCCUAGUGAGUCAUAUCUUAGGAAUUAGCCAUGCCAACAUUGCUACCUAGGGUAUGACUGAACCAUUAAGAUACCCCACAAGUCAUAUUCAAGGGUACGAUUGGUACCCUUGAGUUGUACCAAGUCAAAAGGUCCAAAACUUAAGAAAUUUUACAAGGGUCCAAAUCCUAGGGUGUUACAUGCUUGCCUUAGACUUUUUUAUGGGUGUCUCCUUGAGGAGAGGUUUAAUUGAAUAAUUGAAUCUCAAUCCAGUCAAUAUGGAAAACUCGUUCAUGCAAAAACUAACUGGCGUGCCACAGUAGUUAAUCUAGAUUUCGUCCAUCUUUUUGCCCCUCUUCUUCAAAUCUUUAUCAUCACCCAUAUACUUGAUCCUGCACUUGAGAAGACCAUAUACUAUGAUUAUUUGGAAGCAUGUACUGCUGUCCUCAGGUAGGUCAAGAAAGUAUCCAUAGCAGCUGGACCUAAAAAAUCCUCCAGUUUUUCCUUUUCCAUAAUAUUCCUAAAAUCAUCAAAAAAAUUCCCAUAGGACAUUUAACUACAAAAUCACCAGUUAAAUCUGCAGAGUUAUCUAUCAGCAUCUCAACUUGCAAUCAGUUAAUACUAAUAGUUUUGACAGGAUCAUGUUGGGAUUUCAAUCUUAAUUCAUGUCCCAUUGAUGAUACAUUAUCAUCAUCUUGAUCAUCCUCACUAUCUACUUCCUCCUCUUCUUCUUUAUCCUCAUCUUCUUCCUCGUCACAUUUAUUUUUCUCACCACCCACUAUAGACCCUUCUUCACCUUUCUCAACAUCAUUUUCCUUAAUUUUGUUUUUAUAUCUUUCCUUAGCUUUAUUUUUUCCUAAAAGAGAUUGUUCAGGAAGCUCCUCCGAAUCAAUCUAUACUCUAGCUUUUUUGUUAGUUGGUCAAAAGUUGAUCCACUUUCACUUUCUUUUCUUUUAGGAGAUAUCUUUUACCUACAGAUAAAAGAAAUUCAAAAAAUAUUACAAUUGAUGUCUGCAUAAUUUAAAAAAAAAGAUAACAAAAAAUUAAAUAAAUACAACACAUUGCAAAAAAUAUUACAACAAAUGACUCAUCUGUUGGAAUAAAUUCCCCAUCUGUUGCAACAAAUGUAUCAUCUAUUGGAAGAUAUCAAAAUAGUCUUGCUGCUAGUUUAAUUUCUUCCAACAGGUGAUCCAUCUAUUGCAAUACAUGGAGAAUGUAUUGGAAGAGCUAUUUUGUUUUAUUCCAACAACUGACCCAUCUGUUGUAACAAAUGGAGAAUCUAUUGGAAAACGUAUUCUAAAAUCUCCCAACAGAUGUUCAACAUGUUACAAUAAGUGGGUCAUCUGUUGGAAGUUAUCAAACAAGUUGCAGUUCUAUUUUGAUAACUUCGAAUAGAUGACCCAUGUUUAGCAAUAGAGGGGUCAUCUGUUGGAUGAAAUUGAAUCAGGUCUUCAACUUUUACAUCAGAUAUAUAAUCUGUUGGGCAAUACAAUACCUCACCACCACUACCACCAUCAACACCACCACCAACAUUACCACCACUAACACCACCAAUACCAACACUAAUAUUAAUACCAACACCAACACUAACACCACCAAUACCAACACCACUAACACCAAUACAACCACCACCAAUAAUAAUACCACUACCACCACCACUGCCAACACCACCAGCAAUACCACCAAUGCCAACAUCAUCACUACUACCAAUACCAACACCACCAAUACCAACACCACUAAGACCCAUACCAUCACCAAUACCAAUACCACGACAUUACCACGAUUACCAACAAACCAAUACCACUAAUACCAACACCAAAAAUACUAUCAUCAUACCACCACCACCACCACCAUGUAAGGUCCUAAAAAGUUCCCUCAUAGUUUGAUCCUUAGGGCAUGUCAAUUGAGUCGUAAUUUCAGCCCUAAAAGAUUGAGAAGUGGCUUCCUAAGUGAGUAUCAUAUUAACCAUAUAGAAUUUCCCUAAUUUUAACUUUUUAUCAUAUGAGAAAUUUGAUAAGAUUUCUGUCAAUAUAAGAUUCAUCCAAAUUCAAUACCCGGGUAAGAAGUUAUGGCUAAUUUAAGACCUAGUCGUAAAACUGUGUCAUUUUAGUACUUGACGAGUCGCGGAGAGGGUCGAUUUGAAAAUUUUAAAAUUCUAGUGGAACUCUGCAUUAUUGGCACAUCGCACUGAGGUUUCAGGUCCCAACUAGUGGGAAAAUGCAAUGGCUCCGCAUCGUGGAGACUCCCAUAUUGCCAAUUGUCAAUUUCAAGUGAGCCACCGCGAUAAGUGGUGCAUCGCGAUGACCCCUUAAAUCGGGUUCCCAGUUCAAUUUCUUUAGCUUCGUACAGAUGUUAAAAGGGGCAUUUUGGACUUUUUCCAAGGCUAUAAAACCGUACAAACACCAAAUCAAAGUCAUUUGCAAGCAUCCUAUAAGUUUUUUCUCAAGUUUUCUCUCAUAAAAAACCCUAAGUAUCCAAAACCUCUUCCAAGAAUCUUAAGAAUCCACCAUGGAUUUUCUAAAUUGAGUCAAGAUUCAAGGUUCCUAAGUCAAGGGCUUCAAGAACCCUCAAUCAAGAGUACGAAUAGAGUUCCAAAAGUGAGAGUUCAUCCAAAGCUUCUAAUUCAAGGUAUGUGGGGUUUUGAACAAGGGUAACCCUUAAACCCUUAUGCCCAAAAGCAUAUUUACAUCAUGAUUUUGCUGAAAUCUAUAGGAUUUUUACAUGAAUUUGAAUGGGGAUUUUUCACCCAUUCUUAUGGAAUGCAUUAAUUUGAUAUUUCCCAUAAAUUGAGAGUUAAAUGAAAUGAUUUCUACAUGUUUUCUUGAGUGUUUACAGCUGGGUAUAAACCCCAUGAUUUUACUCCUUCACAAGAUAAUAUUUUCAAUGUUUGAGGCGGUGACGCAUAUGCCUAAAUUAAGAUUUUGAGAUAUAUUCCUGAAAUUCCUAGAUUUCUACAUGAUUUAUGAAUCUAUAUGCUUUAUAUAUUAUGCUUUUGAUAUGCUUUAACUUGAUAUUGAACUAUGGGUUGGUAAGCCCUAUUUGAGAUUUGUGAAAUUAUGAACUCUUGUGCUAUAAGCACCCAUGUUUUGAGUAUUUUGAGAUAAUUGAGAAAUGAAUUGACCUAAUGGUCCAAAAGCUUUGAAAUUUACUUCAUCAUAUGAGAUUAUUGAUUUGAUUAUUGGGUUCAUGGUGAACCAUGAGAUUAUUCUAAAAGUGGAUUUUUAUGAGAUAAGCGCAGAUAAUCUAAAGAGAGUAGUACUUAUCACAGAGUGGGUAAGUCACUACAGUUUCUUACCCCAAAACUAUAUGCUACCAUAGGUUGGGCCUGAGGCCGAGUUUAUAAUGAUUAUGAUUAGGCCUGAGGCCGAGUUUUAUUUAGUGAUCACUAGAAGUAGGUUAUACUCCCUGGCAAGAGUAUGACGCUCCUCCCCAAUAUGGGGUCUUCUCCCUAGGAGGACAAAAUGUUGGACUCCAUAUAGCUCGUAUGAUUUAUGUCAGUUAUGAGAACCUCCCUUGCCCUUUUAAACUUUGAAAUUUGAUACUUAUUUUCCCUUCCUAUGAGUUAUUUUUCUAAAUGGCGGAAUUGCAACAUUGUUCCCUAACUAAAGUGCUUCCUUGAGGUGGGUUAUUUUCCUAAAUGAAAGUAUCUUUCCUUGAUAUAGUACUUUUCAUAAAGCUUUGAGAUAAGUUAUUUUCUAGGGCUAGAAUACUUUUCCAUUUGAGAUAGUAUGAUUUUCCUAAAGCUUGAAAUGAGAUAUUUUCCUAAGGUGAAUGAAAUGCCUUCAAAUAUGUUUCCAAGUCAUAUGAUUUCGAAUUCCAAGUAUAUGAGUUCUAAAUAAUUGUGAAAUGUUGAGCAUUGAAGAGGUUUUACUCUCUAUGAGACAUAUGUAUGAUUUUAAAGUAUUGUUCAAAGUCCCUUAGCCUUUAGGUAUUGAGAAUAAGAGAAGUUUUUUGAUUUUUAAGGAUAAAAAGCGAUGGCUCACGAGAUUUGUGUUGUAUGCCUCAUUCUACAUAAUUUAUGAGCUUUAUGUUUUAUACUCGUUCAAGACAUGUGAGUCGUCUUAUUUUGCAUAAAUGAUUUGAUUAAAGAAGAUCAGUACUAUUUUUAUAUAUAUGCAUUCACCCCUGCAUACUAGUACAUUCCAAAGUACUGAUUCACAUAUAUGUCUAUGUUCUACAUUAUCUUAUAAUGUAGGUUUAGGUGCUCAGUCCCAGCCUCACCCGUGAUUCUUCGAGUACCUUGCCUACGUUUUCUGCAGUGGUGAGUCCUCAUGGUUCGAGGAGAGAUCAUCAUAUAUUUUCUAUAUUUGAGAGACUAUGUUUUAUCUUUAGUUCAUUUUGAGUCAGUUGGGGACCUGUCAUAACGACUCUCUAGUUUGCGAUUCGUAGAGGUUUUGUUAGACUAGUAUCAUACUUGUGAUGUGUUGAGGGUUCAAAAUUAUGGAUUUGUUGAGAUUUCUCUGUAUAAUGGUCAUAUGGACGGAGUAUCUUUUCCAUAUUUCCUUUCAUAUGAUAUGACUAUGCGAGUGUUGAGUCUAUUUUAUCUUGAAUUGUGUGUUAUUGGUAGAAACCAGCUCUAAGGGUUAGAUUGGGGCUACUUGUAGACUUAAGCACCGUGUGACAUCUCGUGUGAUGAUUUUGGGUUGUUACACACUACCACCACCACUAAUCCCAACACAACCAACACCAACACCAACACUAAAACUAAUACCAACACCAACACCAUCACCACUAAUAUCAACACCGCUAGUACUAACACCACUACAAAUAUCAAUACCACCACCACCACUACAACCAAUAUCGACACCACCGACCAACAAUACAAAAACCAUCAACAACAACAUCAACAAAACAAAAAUAAAUAACAAAACCAACAACAAAAAAAUAGAAAAAAAAAAACAAACAACACUAAUAGUGCCAACAAUACCUCUAACAGCCACCGCCAACACCACAAACACCAUCCAAAAACACCAUGACAGUCAACAAAAUAUUGCGACAAAACCUAGGGUUAUCUCAAGUUCUUUCUAUAUGUUUUAACAUCAAUUUGAAUUUGAAUUUUUCAUGAUUUUCCUAAAAUCUAUGAGAUUUUUACAUGAAUUUGAAUUGGAAUUUUUUACCCAUUAUUAUGGAAUGCAUUACUUUGAUAUUUUCCAUAAAUUGAGAGUAAAAUGACAUAAUUUCCAUAUAUUUUCUUGAGUGUUUACAGCUGGGUAUAAAGUCCAUGAUUUUACUCCUUGAUAAGCUAAUAUUUGCAAUGUUUGAGGUGGUGAAGCAUAUGACUAAAUUGAGAUUUUAAGAUAUAUUGCUGAAGUUCCCAUAUAUCUACAUGAUUUAUGAAUCUAUAUGCUUUAUAUAUUAUGCUUUUGAUAAGCUUUAACUUGAGAUUGAACUAUUGGUUAGUAAGCCCUAUUUGAGACUUGUGAAAUUAUAAACUCUUGUGCUAUAAGCACCCAUGUUUUGAGUAUUUUCAGAUGAUUGAGAAAUAAAUUGACCUAAUGGUCUGAAAUCUUUGAAAUCCACUUCAUCAUAUGAGAUUAUCGAUUUGAUUAUUGGAUUCGUGGUGAACCAUGAGAUUAUUAUAAAAGUGAAUUUUUAUGAGAUGAGCACAGAUAAUCUAAAGGGAGUAGUACUUAGCACCAAACAGGUAAGUCACUACGGUUUCUUACCCCAAAACUAUGUGCCACCAUAGGUUGGGCCUGAGGCUGAGUUUAUGAUGAUUAUGAUUAGGCCUAAGGCCGAGUUUUAUUUAGUGAUCACUAGACCUAGGUUAUACUCCCUGACAAGAAUAUGAUAUUCCUCCCCAACGUGGGAUCUCCUCCUUAGGAAGACAAAACAUUGGACUCCAUGUAGCUCGCAUGGUUUAUGUCAGUUACGAGAACCUUCCUUGCCCUUUUAAACUUAAAACUUUGAUGCUUAUUUUCCCUUCAUAUGAGUUAUUUUCCUAAAUGAUGGAAUUGCAAAGUUGUUCCCUAAUUAAAGUGCUUCCCUGAGGUGGGUUAUUUCCCUAAAUAAAAGUAUCUUCCCUUGAUAUGGUACUUUUCAUAAAGCUUUGAGAUAAGUUAUUUCCUUGAGCUAGAAUACUUUUCCAUUUGAGAUAGAAUGAUUUUCCUAAAGCUUGAAAUGAGAUAUUUUCCUAAGGUGAAUGAAAUGCCUUCAAAUAUAUUUCCAAGUCAUAUGAUUCCGAAUUCCAAGUAUAUGAGUUCUAAAUAAUUAUGAAAUGUUGAGCAUUGAAGAGGUUUUACUCUCCAUGAGAUAUAUGCAUGAGUUUAAAGUAUUGUUCAAAGUCCCUUAGCCUUUGGGUAUUGAGAAUAAGAGAAGUUUUCUGAUUUUUAAGGUUAAAGAGCAAUGACUCAUGAGAUUUGUGUUGCAUGCCUCAUUCUACAUAAUUUAUGAGCUUUAUAUUUUAUACUUGUUCAAGCCAUGUGAGUCGUCUCAUUUUCCAUACAUGAUUUGAUUGAAGAAGAUUAGUACUAUUUUUAUACAUAUGCAUUCACCCCCGCAUACUCAGUAAAUUCCAAAGUACUGAUUUACAUAUAUGUCUAUGUUCUACAUUAUCUUAUAAUGUAGGUUUAGGUGCUCAGUCCUAGCCUUAUCCAUGAUUCUUUGAGUACCUUGCCUACGUUUUUUGCAGUGGUGAGUCCUUAUGGUUCUUGGACUGAUCUUCAGAUAUUUUCUGUAUUUUAGAGACUAUGUUUUACCUUUAGUUCAUUCGAUUCAGUUGGUGACCUAUCCCAAUGGCUCUCUAGUUUUCAAUUCAUAGAGGUUUUGUCAGACUAGUAUCAUAUUUGUGGUGUGUUGAGGGUUUGGUAUUGUUGUUUUGUUGAGGUUUCUUUGUAUUGUGGUCAUAUGGACCUAGUAUCUUUCUUGUAUUUCCUUUAAUGUGAUAUGACUAUGUGAGUGUUGAGUCUAUUUCAUCUUGAAUUGAGUGUUAUUGGUAGAAAUCGGCUCUAACGGUUAGCUUUGGACUACUUGUAGCCUUAAGCACCGUGUGACAUCCUGGGAGAUGAUUUUGGAUCAUUACAAACUUGGUAUCAGAGCCUAAGGUUUCUAAGGAGUCCUAGGGAGUCUGACAAGCCGCGUUCAGUAGAGUCUUGAUCAUCGGUGUGUAGCAUCCCAUAUCUAUGAGCAAGAGGCUAUGAGAUGUUCUAGGAAAAGUUAUUUUUUCUUUUAGAUUCUAUCAUGCCUAUGUUAUCCCUCUUAUCUAAUAAUCCCUGCUCUUUUAUUUUCAGAAAAUGCCUCCUCGAAGAGCGAAUGUCUGCGGAAAUAAUGAUGAGCAACCCCCACCUAUUAAUUCUUUGAAUAAGACGGUCCUAUGUUGAGUUUUAGGCGGCCUUUCAGGUGUUAGCCUAAACGAUCACCAUAAAUAUUUAGGCCAAUAACCAGGCCCUAGUUUUUAAUCAACAGGGUGGUGAUGUAGCUGCGGCUAGAAUUCAUGACUUUAUACGGAUGAAUCUACCUAAUUUCUACGGGUUCAAGGUGGAUGAGGACCCCCAGUUGUACUUGGAGGAGGUGAGGAAGAUCACUAAUGUGAUGCAAGUUUUGGAAGAAAAAAGUGUUGUGUUGGCGUCCUAUAGACUGAAGGACAUUGCUUAUGAUUGAGUUGUAUCGUGGAAGAAUGGUAGAGGUGAGAAUACCGCUCUUAUGACUUGGCAAUUAUUCCAAGAUACCUUCUUGGACCAGUUCUUUCCAUUUGAGAUAAGGGACGCAAAGAUUGAGGAGUUCAUGAAAUUGAGGCAGGGCUCUAUGGUUGUUAAGGAGUACUGCUUGAAGUUUAAUCAGUUGGCCAAGUACGCUCCUGAUUUGAUUUCUGACACUCGGUCUAGCAUGAGUAAGUUUGUGAUGGUAUUUCUGAGAUGGUAUUGAAGGAGUGUAGGCUUGUGAUGUUGCAUAAGGAUAUGGAUCUGGCUAGGUUGAUGAUGCAUACCCAAUAUAUAGAGGUGGAUAAUCUUAGAGAAAGAGAUAAAAUGAGGGGUAGCAAAGGGCUAGAUCUGAGCAAUAUGAGUUUAGCCGACCUAGGUUCCAUGAAGGGGACUGCCCCCAGUUUCAAAGAUGACUGUCUAUUCCAGUGCCUUCAUCAGCUAGUUCUCUCAUGCCUAGAGGUAGGCCGGAGCAAGGGAGCAAGUCUUUCAUGUAUGGGUUGGAAAAUAGUAUUGGUAACCAGCCCUGUUAUCCUCCUUGUGCUAAAUAUGGUAGGAAUCAUCUUGGGGAGUGUUUCAGGGAUGUGAGGGGUUGUUUUGGUUGUGAAAAGUAGGGCCACAGACUUAGAGAUUCUCCCAUGAGAGAUAGGGGUACAGAGAUGCUUGACCUCAGGCACAGGCUGCUAGUGCACCAUCUCCGGUACUUUGUCCCGCCCCUGCUCAGGGCACUUCUUCUAGCAUCGCUAGCAGUCAGCACCAGAACAUAUUCUAUGCCUUGCCACCCCAUUGGGAGCAUGAGGACUCUCCUGAUAUUGUUACAGGUAUGAUCCGUCUCUUUUGUCUUGAUAUUUAUGCGUUGUUGGACCCUGGGUCAAAUCUCUCUUAUGUGACCCCACUUUUAGAUGUGAAUUUCAAAAUGAGUCCCCAAAAUAUUCUCGAGCCUUUCCUAGUUUCUACUCCAGUCGAAGAGUUAGUUGUUGCUAAACAAAUGUAUGGAGGUUGCCCUGUUACUAUGCUUCAUAGAGUCGUACCCGCUGGUUUGAUAGAGUUAGACAUGGUAGAUUUUGACCUUAUUCUGGGUAUGGAUUGGUUUCAUUCUUGCUAUGCAUCUAUAGAUUGUCAUACCCAUAUGGUCAAGUUCUAUUUUCCUGAUAAACCAGUGAUUGAGUGGUCUAGGAGUUUGGCAUCUCCCAAGUGUCAUUUUAUCUCCUAUACCAAAGCCAGAAAACUAAUAUCCAAAGGUUGCAUUACCACCUAGUUAGAGUCAAGACACUCAUUUCGAGGCUCCAACUAUUCAGUCAGUCGAUAUUAUUAAUAAGUUUCCAGAUGUCUUUUCGGAUGAUCUCCCAAGGGUACCUCUCGAUAGAGAGAUAGAGUUCGGAAUUGAACUUCUUCCUGACACUCAACCUAUUUCUAUUCUGCCAUACCAUAUGGCACCCGUAGAGCUUAAGAAAUUGAAGGAUCAACUCAAAGAUCUCUUACAUAAAGGUUUUAUUAGACCCAGUAUUUCUCCUUGGGACGCACCUGUGUUAUUUGUAUGGAAGAAGGACAGAUCUUUUCAUAUGUACAUUGAUUACCGUCAACUGAACAAGGUCACAAUAAAAAUUAAGUAUCCUCUUCCAAGAAUUGAUAACCUAUUCAAUCAGUUUCAAGGUGCAGGUUAUUUCUCUAGGAUAGACCUUAGAUUCGUCUAUCAUCAACUUGAGGUGAGGGAAUUUGAUAUUCCAAAAUUGGCCUUCCAAACCUAUUAUGGUCACUUUUAGUUUCUAGUUAUGUAUUUCAGGCUAACCAAUGCUCCAAAAACUUUUAUGGACCUCAUGAUUCGAGUGUUCAAGCAGUAAUUUGAUAUGUUUGUCAUUGUAUUCAUAGAUGAUAUCUUUGUGUACUUCCUUGAUGAGAAUGGCUAUACGAAUUAUCUUAGAAUUGUCUUGCAAACUCUUAGAGAUCACCAGUUCACCAAAUUUAGUAAGUGUGAAUUCUGGCUAAGGUCUGUUGCCUUUUUGGGUCAUGGUGUUUCAGCCAAAGGUAUUAGAGUCGAUCCCCUAAAGACAGAAGCUGUGAAAAGUUGGCCUAGACCUAUCUCUCCAUCCGAUAUUAGGAGUUUCUUGGGUCUAGAGGGCUGUUACAAUCAUUUUGUUGAGGGUUUCUCUUCUAUUGCGUCUCCUAUGACCCGGUUGACCUAAAAGAAAGUUAAAUUCUAGUGGCCUAAUUCCUGUUAGAAGAGUUUUUCAAGAGUUGAAGACUCGACUCACUUCAGCCCCUGUGUUGACUUUGCCUGAUGGUACUGAUGGUUUUGUGGUGUAUUGUGAUGCCUCUAGAGUUGGUUUGGGUUGUGUGUUGAUGCAGAGAGGUAAGGUUAUAGCCUCUGCCUCUAGACAGUUGAAGCCGUAAGAAAAGAACUACCCGACCCAUGACCUUGAGUUAGCUGCUGUAGUCUUUGCUUUGAAAAUCUAGAGACACUAUCUUUAUGGUGUCCACGUUGAUGUGUUUACUGAUCAUAAGAGCCUGCAGUAUGUAUUUACCCAUAAGGAGUUGAAUCUUAGGUAGAGAAGGUGGUUGGAGUUAUUGAAAGAUUAUGAUAUGAGUGUGUUGUAUCACCUAGGCAAGGCCAAUAUAGUGGCGGAUGCCCUUACCAAAUUAUUUAUAGGUAGCGUUGUGCAUAUAGAGGAGGGUAAGAGACAGUUAGCUCAUGAGAUACACUGUCUGGAUAGGUUGGGAGUUAGAUUUCUUGAUUCAGCGGAGGGAAGUACAUUGGUGCAGAGUAGUUCUGAAUCCUCUUUAGUUUUGAAAGUGAAGGAGAAGCAAGAUAGAGACCCUAGUUUGGUCAAAUUAAAAGUGUCAGUUAAGGACCAAAAGGUAGAGGUUUUCUCCCAAGGGAGUGAUGGUGUGUUAAGGCUGCCUGGUAAGUUGAGUGUCCCAUGUGUUGAUGAAUUGAGGUAGAGAAUUAUGGAUGAAGCUCAUGGCGCAUAUUAUUUCAUUCAUCCUGGCACUACCAAGAUAUACCGUAAUUUGCGGGAAUUCUAUUGGUGGAAUGUUAUGAAGAAGGAUACAGCCGAGUUUGUAGCGAGGUGUGCAAUAUGUCAAUAAGUUAAGGUAGAGCACCAAAGGCUGGGUAGUAUGAUGCAAGAGUUUCGUAUACCCACUUUGAAGUGGGAGAUUGUGAAUAUGGACUUCGUGAUCGGGUUACCUCUUUUGCGCUGUCAUUAUGAUUCUAUUUGGGUUGUUGUGGAUAGGCUGACUAAUUCCGCACACUUCUUGUCUGUGCAUACGUCUUAUACGACUGAGGAUUAUGCUAUAUUGUAUAUCUGGGAGUUGGUCAGGCUGCAUGGAGUUCCCUUGUCUAUCAUUUUGGAUAGGGGUACUCAAUUUACUCCUAGUUUUAGAGGGCGUUUCAGCAGGGUUUUGGUACCUAAGUUUUUCUGAGUUCCGCAUUUCACCCACAAAUAGAUGGUCAGGCUGAAAGGACCAUUCAGACCCUGGAGGAUAUGUUGAGAGUAUGUGCCCUCGAUUUCAAAGGUAGUUGGGAUGAGCAUUUGCCAUUGAUUGAGUUUGCCUAUAACAAUAGUUUCUAUGCUUGCAUUGAGAUAGCACCGUUUGAGUCCUUGUAUGGUAGGAGGUGUAAAUCACCCAUAGGUUUAUUUGAAGUGGGUGAAGCUACCGUAAUUGGGCCCGAUGCAGUAUUUAAAGCCAUUGAGAAAGUUAAGUGUAUUAGAGAAAGGUUAAAGAUGGCUCAAAGUCGUCAAAAGUCUUAUGCCGAUGUGAGGAGGAGAGAUCUUGAGUUUAAGGUGGGUGAUUUGGUGUACUUGAAGAUUUCACCCAUGAAAGAGGUGAAAAGGUUUGGUAAGAAGGGAAAAUUGUGUCCUCGUUAUGUUGGUUCAUAUAGAGUCUUGAGCCAUGUUAGUAUAGUGGCCUAUGAGGUUGAGUUGCCCUCAAAAUUGUUAGCCGUUCAUCCUAUAUUUCAUGUCUCUAUGCUCAAGAAGCAUAUUGGUGAUUCUAUUAUGGUUGAUCCUUCAGAGAGUGCUGAGAUUCAAGAUAGUCUUUCCUUCAAUGAAAUUCUUGUUGAGAUCUUAGACUUUCAAGUCCGUAGGUUGAGGAACAAAGAAGUUACCUUGGUCAAAGUGUUGUGGCGGAACCAUUCUGUUGAGGGUGCUACUUGGGAGGCAGAAGAAGACAUAUGAGCCAAGUACCCGCACCUUUUUUCCAUGGGUUCAGACCAAGCCGAAGGUACUAUUCUUCCUUAAUUCAGCUCUUCUAAUCUAAAGUUCAGCUAAGCAUCUAUCCUUGUAUGAUUUGUUGCAUUUUAUAGAGUAUUAAUGACUUUAGAAAAAUCUUAAACCGUUUAGAAAUUGUUUCAUCUAUGUGUACUCUGUUUUUCCUAUAUUCCUAGCCUAAUUCAUGACAUUUGAGGAUGAAUGUUCCCAAGGGGGAGAUAUUGUAAGGUCCCACAAAGUUCCCUCGUAGUGUUCCCAAGGGGGAGAUAUUGUAAGGUCCUACAAAGUUCCCUCGUAGUUUGAUCCUUAGGGCGUGUCGAGUGAGGCGUGAUUCUGGCCUUACAAAAUUGAGAAGUGGCUUCCUAAAUGAGUAUCGUGUUAACCAUAUAGAAUUUCCCUAAUUUCAACUUUUUAUCAUUUGGGAAAUUUGAUAAGCUUUCCAUCGAUAUAAGAUUCGCCCAAAUCCGAUACCCGGGUAAGAAGUUAUGGCUAAUUUAAGUCUUAGUCGUGAAACUGUGUCAUUUUAGUUCUUGGCGCAUCGCGGAGAGGGUCGAUUGACAAUUGUCAAAUUCCAGUGGAACUCUACGAUAUUAGUGCAUCGUGCUGAGGUUCCAGGUCUAAACUAGUGAGAAAAUGCGAUGGUUCCGCGUCGCGUUGGCUCCCGUAUUGCCAAUUAUCAAUUUCCAGUGAGCCACCGCGAUAAGUGGCGCAUCGCGGUGACCCCUUAAAUCGGGUUCCCAGUUCAAUUUUUCCAGCUUCGUACAGAUGUUAAAAGGGGCAUUUUGGACAUUUUUCAAGCCUAUAAAACCGUGCAAACAUCAAAUCAAAGUCAUUUACAAGCAUCCUAUAAGGUUUUUCUCAAGUUUUCUCUCAUAAAAAACCAUAAGUAUCCAAAACCUUUUCCAAGAAUCUCAAGAAUCCACCAUGGAUUUUCUAAAUUGAGUCAAAAUUCAAGGUUCCCAAGUCAAGGGCCGGGCCUCAAGAAUCCUCAAUCAAGAGUACGAAUAGAGUUCCAAAAGUGAGAGUUCAUCGAAAGCUUCUACUUCAAGGUACGUGGGGUUUUGAACAAGGGUAUCUCUUUCACCCUUGUGCCCAAAAAACUUAUUUACAUCAUGAUUUUGCUGAAAUCUAUGGGGUUUUUACAUGAAUUUGAAUUAAAAAUUUUCACCCAUUAUUAUGGAAUGCAUUACCUUGGUAUUUCCCAUAAAUUGAGAGUUAAAUGACAUGAUUUCUACAUGUUUUCUAGAGUUUAUGACAUGAUUUCUACAUGUUUUCUAGAGUUUUUAUAGCUGGGUAUAAACCCCAUGAUUUUACUUCUUGAUAAGCUAAUAUUUGCAAUGUUUGAGGCGGUGAAGCAUAUGCCUAAAUUGAGAUUUUGAGAUAUAUUCCUGAAAUUCCUAGAUUUCUACAUGAUUUAUGAAUCUAUAUGCUUUAUAUAUUAUGCUUUUGAUAUGCUUUAACUUGAUAUUGAACUAUGGGUUAGUAAGACCUAUUUGAGAUUUGUGAAAUUAUGAACUCUUGUGCUAUAAGCACCCAUAUUUUGAGUAUUUUGAGAUGAUUGAGAAAUGAAUUGACCUAAUGGUCCAAAAGCUUUGAAGUCCACUUCAUCAUAUGAGAUUAUCGAUUUGAUUAUUGGGUUCAUGGUGAACCAUGAGAUUAUUAUAAAAGUGGAUUUUUAUGAGAUGAGCGCAGAUAAUCUAAAGGGAGUAGUACUUAUCACCGAGCGGGUAAGUCACUACGGUUUCUUACCCCAAAACUAUGUGCCACCAAAGGUUGGGCCUGAGGCCGAGUUUAUAAUGAUUAUGAUUAGGCCUGAGGCUGAGUUUCAUUUAGUGAUCACUAGACCUAGGUUAUACUCCCUGGCAAGAGUAUGACGCUCCUCCCCAAUGUGGGGUCUCUUCCCUAGGAGGACAAAAUGUUGAACUCCAUGUAGCUCAUAUGAUUUGUGUCGGUUAUGAGAACCUCCCUUGCCCUUUUAAACUUUGAAAUUUGAUACUUAUUUUCCCUUCCUAUGAGUUAUUUUUCUAAAUGGUGGAAUUGCAACGUUGUUCCCUAACUAAAGUGCUUCCUUGAGGUGGGUUAUUUUCCUAAAUGAAAGUAUCUUCCCUUGAUAUAGUACUUUUCAUAAAGCUUUGUGAUAAGUUAUUUUCUAGGGCUAGAAUACUUUUCCAUUUGAGAUAGAAUGAUUUUCCUAAAGCUUGAAAUGAGAUAUUUUCCUAAGGUGAAUGAAAUGCCUUCAAAUAUGUUUCCAAGUCAUAUGAUUUCGAAUUCCAAGUAUAUGAGUUCUAAAUAAUUGUGAAAUGUUGAGCAUUGAAGAUGUUUUACUCUCCGUGAGACAUAUGCAUGAUUUUAAAGUAUUGUUCAAAGUCCCUUAGCCUUUGGGUAUUGAGAAUAAGAGAAGUUUUCUGAUUUUUAAGGUUAAAAAGCGAUGACUCACGAGAUUUGUGUUGUAUGCCUCACUCUACAUAAUUUAUGAGCUUUAUAUUUUAUACUUGUUCAAUACAUGUGAGUCGUCUUAUUUUGCAUAAAUGAUUUGAUUGAAGAAGAUCGGUACUAUUUUUAUACAUAUGCAUUCACCCCUGCAUACUCAGUACAUUCCAAAGUACUGAUUCACAUAUAUGUCUAUGUUCUACAUUGUCUUAUAAUGUAGGUUCAGGUGCUCAGUCCCAGCCUCAUCCGUGAUUCUUCGAGUACCUUGCCUACGUUUGCGGCAGUGGUGAGUCCUCAUGGUUCGAGGAGAGAUCUUCAUAUAUUUUCUGUAUUUGAGAGACUAUGUUUUAUGUUCAGUUCAUUUUGAGUCAGUUGGGGACCUGUCCCAACGGCUCUCUAGUUUGCGAUUCGUAUAGGUUUUGUUAGACUAGUAUCAUACUUGUGAUGUGGCUAGGGUUCGGAAUUGUGGAUUUGUUGAGGUUUCUUUAUAUUAUGGACAUAUGGACGGAGUAUCUUUCUCGUAUUUCCUUUCAUGUGAUAUGACUAUGCGAGUGUUGAGUCUAUUUUAUCUUGAAUUGAGUGUUAUUGGUUGAAACCGGCUCUAAGGGUUAGCUUGGGGCUACUUGUAGCCUUAAGCACCGUGUGAUAUCCCGGGAGAUGAUUUUGGGUUGUUACACACUACCACCACCACUAAUCCCAACACCACCAACACCAAAACCGACACCAACACCAACACCAACACCAACACCAAUACCAACACCAACAACAACACCAACACCAACACCAACACCAACACUAUCACCACUAAUAUCAAUACCGGUAGUACUAACACCACUACCAAUAUCAAUUCCACCACCACCACUAUAACCAAUACUAACAUCACUGACCGAUAAUAUAAAAACCAUCAACAAAAGAAAAAUAAAUAACAAAACCAACAAUAAACAAAAUAGAAAAACAACAAACAAACAACACCAAUAGUGCCAACAAUACCACCAAAAGCCACCACUAACACCAUAAACACCAUCCAAAAACACCAUGACAGUCAACAGAUUAUUGCAACAAAAACUAGGGUUAUCUCGAGUUCUUUUUAUAUGUUUUAGCAUCAAAAACUCAAAAUUGUUAACCCAUUCUUGAAGAUAAUACAACUAAAAGUCUUUUUUAUCAUUAACUAAAAAGCUAUAAUUUUUUGAAAAAAAAAUAUAAAACUCUUCUCAAACUCUGUUACCUAUGAAGAGAGAGAAUAAGGUGGAUACAAGCAAGAAAGGUAUCAAAAAUAACAACUAUGUGGUCGAAAAUGGGAAGAAAAUCAAUCUGUUGUGAAGGGUUGAAAAAUCUAUUGAGUAGUUAUUAUUUGUAUUAUUGAGAGUGAGAAAGAGAUUUGAAAUGAGCGACUGGAUUUUCAAAAAUGAUUGAUCCCUUGCAUUUUUAUUACACAUUAAUUAUAGGUUGAUUUGUAUUUUAAAAAAGAAUGACAAGUUUUGAAAGUAUUAAUUUGGUCUCAAUUGAUCUUGAUCAAAUUUUUAAAAGAGGUAAAUUUUAACUGUUUGAUAAUAAAGAAAAUUAAUUUCACUAAAAUUGGUUUUCAGUUAUUCAGUUCAAUUGGAAAUUUAAUGAAUUUAAUAAUAAUUUAAUAUUAAUUAUAUAUCUAUAUUUGUUUGAUAAUUUUCAACAAAUAAAAAAUCUAUUCCAAUAUAUUACUCAUAUGUUGCCACAAAUGAGUAAUAUAUUGGAAAUGACCAAACAGAUAAAAUCAUUUGUUGCAAAAGAUGAGUCAUUUGUUGCAAUAGAUGAGUAUAUCUGUUUGAUAAUUUGCAAAAGUAGAAUCAUUUAUUGCAACAGGUUGAACCUGUUUUAAUAAAUUAUACAAUAGUUGAUUAUGUAAUUGCAAUGAGAUAAAUUGAAAUUAUAAUUGAACUUAUCAACUGAAAUUUUAUUCUAGAUAAAUCAAUAUAGUUAUUAUAAAUAAUGGCUAGAUUUGAAUCAUUUCUGCUCAGAUUGGUCAAUUGAUAACUCUACUCAGGAUAAACAUAUAGUUGAUCAUGUAAUUGCAAUGACAUCAACUGAAAUUAUAAUUCAACUUAUCAACUCACCUUUAACUUUAGCUAAAGCAAUUUAGUUAUUAUAAAUAAUAGCUUGAUUUGAAUCAUUUCCUCUCAAAUUAGUCAAUUGAUAACUUUAUUCAGGACGAACACGAUAGUUGAUCAUGUAAUUGAAAUAAGAUUGAUUGAAAUUGUAAUUGAACUUAUCAAAUCACCUUUAAAUUUAUCUAAAUCAAUUUAGUUAUUACAAAUAAUGGCUUGGUUUGAAUUAUUUAAACUCAAAUUGAUCAAUUAAUAACUCUACCCAGGACUAACACAAUAGUUGAUUAUGUAAUUGCAAUGGGAUCAAUUGAAAUUGUAAUUGAACUUAUCAACUCACAUUUAAUUAUAGAUAAAUUAAUAUAGUUAUUACAAAUAAUGAAUGUAUUUGAAUCAUUUCCGCUCAAAUUGGUCAAUUGAUAACUCUACUUAGGAUGAACACAAUAGUUGAUCAUUAAUUGCAAUGAGAUCAAUUGAAAUUGUAAUUGAACUUAUCAACUCACCUUUAAUUCUAGAUAAAUCAAUAUAGUUAUUACAAAUAAUGACUAGAUUUGAAUCAUUCCUUUCAAAUUGGUCAAUUGAUAACUCUAUUCAGGACGAACACAAUAGUUAAUCAUGUAACUGUAAUGAGAUCAAUUGAAAUUUUAUAAUUGAACUUAUCAAGACAUCUUUAAUUCUAGAUAAAUAAAUAUAGUUAUAAUAAAUAAUGGCUUGAUUUGAAUCAUUUCAAAUCAAAUUGAUCAAUUGAUAACUUUACUCAGGACGAAUACAAUAGUUGAUUAUGUAAUUGCAAUGAGAUCAAUUGAAAUUGUUAUUGAACUUAUCAAAUCAUCUUCAAUUCUAGCUAAAUAAAUAUAGUUAUUACAAAAAAUGGCUUGAUUUAAAUAAAUAAAGGACUAACCUGUUGCAACAGAUAACACAUAUGUUAAAAAUUGUCAAAUCGUUAUAAACAUCUGUUACAAUAGAUGAACCUGUUACAACAGAUGACUUAUCUGUUGUAAAUUAUCAAACAAAUAUAGAUAUCUGUUGCAACAAAUGACUUAUUUGUUGGAAAUUAACAAAAAAAUAUUGACAUUUAUUGCAAUAGAUGACUUAUCUGUGGUAAAUUAUCAAACAGAUAUAGACAUCUGUUGCAAUGGAUGACCCAUCCAUUGGAAAUUAUGAAACAGAUAGCAUAUCUAUUGCAACAGAUUACCAAUCUAUUGGAAGAUCUUUCUUUUUUUAAGCAAUUUUUUAUUCGGAAUUAAAAAAGAUAAAAUACUAAGGAAGAAGCUUUUUUUUUAGGAUAACUCAAAAGUCCCCCUAUUGUGUUGUCUUUUCAAUGUUACCAUUUCCUCUUUUUCUUUUUCUCAAAGGACGUAAGGACGUCCCACAACCAUAAAUAUUUAAUAAUAUUUGAACCAAACCAUCUCUAAAAUUUUCUCUCAACUUGUCAUGACCCGAAGAUACCCCCUAGUCAUAACACGGUGCUUAGAACCCCAAGUGAUCCCUAGCUCACUCAUGUACUGGCAUGAUUCUUGAGCAAAUAAUUUAAAUAUGCUAAAAUUGCUGAGCGGAAGCAUAAUCAUGAGAAAAUUUGAAUGAAUGCAAUAUUGAUAAAGUUUACAAAAUGAUAAAUAUGAAGAAAGAACUUGAACUGCAUAUCAUGACUCUGACUAAUUAUCUAUGAAGCCUCUACUAUAUUGACUAUAAAUAACUGGGAUAUGCCUCCAACUGCAACUAAUCAGUACAUAUUGAUAAUCAAAAUUACAACACAUGAACUGCAAUGUGCUGGAGUCCCCAAAAUAAGAAGACUUAUCACCUCCUGGCUGAAAGCUGCAAACUAUCUAAUUAUGAUGGGUAGGCUAUAACUGGUACCUACAUUAUGAGAUAAUGUAGCCACAUAGACGUAUAUGUGGAUCAGUACUUCUGAAAUGUACUGAGUAUGUGGAGACAUGCACUAAAUCAUAGAAAUAUUUAAAAGAUACUUUAAAAGUAAGGAUAUAAGUUAUUUGCUUAAACAUGCAUUUAAAACAUGGUUAUAUGUGAAAACUGUAAGUCAUAGUGAGAUGUUUCAUAUGGAUGUUAAAAUUGUCUCUAGAUAAACCCUAAACCUAAUACAAAAACCUACGAUAAGAUUGCGGCCGACAUGGCCACCACAGUCAGUGGGCUUGAUCCACCGAUAAACAAUUAAAAUGGUAAGAAAGACGUAAGUAAUGAGGAGAAUAAAUGAUUAUUAAACCACAAAGUUUCAUAUACAAAUAUACUAAAACCAAGAGGAGGCGAAAGUAAUAAGGAAAGAAUCCCUCCUAAACCAGUAGUAAUUCUUGAAGGGUAGCCUAGUAUAACAUGGAAAUCAUCUAAAGUAAAAAGCUUAAUUUUGCAAGAAAAUUUACAAUAUGCAGUAAUUAGUAAAUUUUCUUAUGGUAAACCUGAUAUAGUGGAGUUGAGAAAGUGUAUAAUUAUUCAAUGUGGCAUUAAGGGAGAAUGUAACAUUGGUGUGCUAGACUCAAGGUACAUUCUUAUUCGAUUGAGAAUAAUAGAAGAUUAUGCUUAUAUAAUAUCAACUGCUACAUAUUAUAUAAAAGCGAAGAAGAUGUAUUGGUAGAUGAGACCCCUUAAGUAGGAUCCAUGGUUGAGUCGGAUGUAGAAACUACUAUGGGAAUUGCAUGGAUAUCAAUGCCAGAUCUUUCUCCUAAGCACUGUUUUCAAUUGCUUCAGCAAUAGGGAAACCAUUAACAGUGGACAUAGAAACCAAGAAUCAAACUAGACCUAGAUAUGCUCAAGUUAAGGUGGAGGUAGAUCUUGUUCUAAUUUACCACAAAAAGUGAAGAUAAAUGAGGAAGAUGAUAUGAUGGGAUAGGUUAAAUCUAAAUGGAUUAGUAUUCAUUAUGAUUAUAAAUUAAAGUAUUACAAAGAGUGCUGUUUGCAAGGUCAUAAUGAAAAUUCAUAUUGGAAUAUUCAUCCUGAGUUACUUGACAAGCAAAAAGAAGAAAAAAAGGAAGCUGAAAAUACAUUAGUAUAGGGACAGAAAUAUAAUGGUUCAGAAGCAGGGAGUAAUAAUCAUAGAAGUAUAAGACAUCUCAAGUAGCAAUGGUUAACAAGGAGGAAUAAGUAUAAAUGAGACAAAUUUGGACAUAUUGUAGGGGAAGUGGAAGAAGACACUCAACCAGAUAUUCCUGUAGCUAAUACUUUUGAUGUGCUUACACAAGGGGAGCAGGAAGAAGUAAGCAAUAACAAGGAGUUGGAGAAGGAAGAGAAGCAGAUUAACCAAAGUACAAAAGAGUGGGUUCUAAAAGCUCACCAACUAAAGAAAAAAAUUUAAAAUAGGAGAGAAGAUAGAAAAUGAGAAGAUUAAUGAAAAUCAGAUAAAAAAGAUUCAGUAGAAGGAUGGGUACAAAGCGACCACUAAAAUGAACGAGGAGAUAGUAGAGCAACAAAUAGCUAAUGAGGCAAAAUAGACAAAGCAACUAGAAUUAAUGCAGAUUCAAGAAGGAGAGGAACUAGAAAAGGUGAUACAAAAUAUAUUACCUCUUGCAAUCUAAGUUGAUAAUCAGAUUGAAUACAACAAUGUGGAGAAUUUAAAUUUAGAUGAAGGAGACGUGGGGAAAAAUAUUGACAAAAUGGGAAUUGAAGGGAAUCUGUUUUCUAGGCAGAUGGAGAAGUUGAAAAUAACUUAAGGCAUAUAGAGAAAGAAAGAUAAAGAAGUUAAAGCUUCUUCAAUGCAGACUAGGAGUUCUCUUAAAAAUAAGUUUAAAUGAAUACAUUAAUCUGGAAUAUCAUAUCAAUAAACACUCAGAAGGACGACUUAUUAUUUUGUUCAAAAGAUAUCACUUUUCAUUCAUUGGUUUAAUGGAACCUUUCCAAGAAAACCAAACUAUUGAAGAGUACAAGAGGAAAUUAGGUAUGAAACAUACAACAAGAAAUUCUUCAUGUAAACUAUGGGCUUUUAUUGAUGAUUUAGUGGAGUGUGCUGUAAUAAAAGAUGAGGAUCAAUAAAUGACCAUUAAAUUUGUCAAUUUGGCAACAUGCAUUUCAGUAGUGGUUACAUUGGUGUAUACUAAAUAUUCUGAAGUAGAGAGAUUAAUGCUAUGGGAUUCAUUGGAAGAUAUGGCUCAGAUAAUCCAAGAUCCAUGGUUGAUAGGGGGAGAUUCUAAUGUAAUUAUAAGUGAGGAGGAAAGAUUAAGAGGUCUUCCAGUUAUUGUGGCUAAAAUAGAGGACUUCAAGAAAUGCAUUAAUCUUUGUGGUUUGGAAAAUCCAGGUUUUAAGGGGAGCAAAUAUACUUGGUGGAAUAGAAAGAAUUAUGAAGGGUGUAUUUUUAAGAGGUUAGAUAGGGUACUUUAUAAUGACAAAUUACAGGACCUUUUUCCAAUACUGGAGGUGGAACAUCUGUUUAGGAGUGGAUUUGAUCAUACUCCUUUGAAAAUUCAUUUCAAAACAGUUAAUGAGCAUAUUCACAAACCUUUUAGGUUUCUUAAUAUGUGGUUAAAAGAGAAGGCUUGUUUUAAAUUAAUAAAGGAUAACUGGGUUACUGAUAUGAUGGGAAAUCCUUUCAUCAUUUUCUAUCAUAAGUUGAAAAGGGUUACAACAACUUUGGCAAAAUAGAGUAAAGAGUAAUAUGGUAACAUUUUCUAGAAAAUUGCUACACUGGAGGAGAUUAUCAAAGUAAGGGAGAAAUAAUUUGAGGAGGAUCAUCUGGCCAUAAUAGACAAAUUCUAUUCAAAGCACAAGCAGAGUUGAAUUUAUAAUUAAAGAGGGAAAAAGUUUUUUGGAGGAAGAAGGUUGGGUUUGAGUAGUUUAAAGAAGGGGAAAGAAAUACUAAAUUCUUUUAUAUAGUUGUGAAGGGAGAAGAAGAAGGCUUAAAGUUUCAAGAAUAGAAAUGAUGAAGGGGAAUGCUAGAAGAUCAAAAUGAAGUAGCAUAAGAAGUUAUGAAUUUCUUUCAGAGACAGUUUAGUAAAGGGGAAGAUAAUGAAGAUUUUGAAAUGCUUAAUGAACUACCUACUGUAGUGACCCAUGAGCAGAAUAAUAAAAUGAACAAGAUUCUUAAAAUUCAAGAAGUCAAGAAAGCUAUAAUAGGACUGAAUAGGAACAGUAUCAGGGGUCCAGAUGGUAUGACAGAAGCAUUUUUCUAGGAUGCUUGGGAGAUUAUUGGCAAGGAUAUUCAUAAUAUGGUUAUAGAUUUAUUUUGUGGAUUUGAAUUGCCAAAAUUUGUUACACAUACAAGUUUGGUACUUUUACCUAAGAAGUUAGUUGUAAACAAAUUUUUUGAUAUCAGACCAAUCUUAUUGAGUAAUUUUGUGAACAAGAUCUUCUCUAAAAUUAUUUAUGAGCAGAUUAAAAGAGUUUUACCUCAGAUUAUAUGAAAAGAACAGGUUGGUUUUAUGCAGGGAAGAAGCAUUGCAGAGAAUAUUUUAAUCGUUCAUAAAAUAAUUACAGAUACAAGGAAAAAAGGUAAGAUUCCCAAUAUGGUAAUCAAACUUGACAUGAUGAAAGAUUAUGAUAGAGUAGAGUGGUUGUUUCUCACAAAGGUAUUAAGAAAAGUGGGAUUUAGUGAGUUUAUGAUUGAUAUGGGAUACAAGCCAGUGGGAAACAAUUGGCAUUCUAUUUUGCUAAAUGGGUAAUCAAAUGGUUUUUUCAGAUCCUCUAGAGGACUAAAAUAGGAGGUUCCACUACCCCCCACUCUCUUUAUCAUAGCAACAGAGGUAAUGUCUAGAGCAUUCAGAUCUUUGAUGUUUAUAAGAGAUUUCAAGUUAUUUGUGAUGCCAAGAAAAAGUCCUAAGGUGAAUCACUUUGCAUCUGCAUAUGACAUGAUAGUUAUUACAAUGCAGAAAGUGACUAACACUUUACAGAAGUAUGAAAGUGUAAGACCCUGCAAAGUCCUAGUCAUUUCAGUCCUAUAUAGCAUCUCAAAAAGGUCCCAAACUUAGAAAAUUUAAUCCAAGUGUUGACACUUAGUCUCAUUUUUGGCCUUGAUAUUUCAGUGGCAUCAUUUAUGAUCUUUCCAGCCUUAGAUUGUUGAUUUUUAAAUUAAUUCAUGAUCAGGGAUGUCAAUAGGUCAUAUUUGGUGAGUUUUAGAAUUUUCUAACAUUAUUUGGGCCAUGUUUGGAUGGCCAAAAUAGCAAACCAAUGCGAUCUCGACGUGUCACAUUGGCUAUCGUAUUGAUAGCAUCAACGCAGUGCGUCGACAAUUAUAUCGACACCAUUGAUGCGACGCGUUGCUUGCUGCAUUGUUGGGCGUAUUUUGCUAAUUAAAUUCCAACUUUACAAGGGUAAUUAGGUCCUUUUCCCCUCACCCAAUUCAGCUACAACAUGAAAUUUAACCUCUCAAAGGGUAAAAUUGACUCAGUAUCUCACAAAUACUCUGAAGAACAAAGCCCUAGUUUCAUCAAGUUCAAGUCCAAGUCCUAAGAAUUCACCGCAAUUCCCAUGAAAUAAAUAAUCAAGGUAUGUUAGGUGUUCAUACUUGGGUCUCCUUCCACCCUUAGAGUUCAAUAACCCUUUUUAAAAACUACAAGUUUUUAGAUUUAUGAUUUACAUAUACAAAUUGGGUUGUAUUUAUGUUUGUGUUAUUGUAUGGGUUUCAAUUCAAGAUUUAACUAUAAGUUUCAUGAACAUAGGAUAGUAUGCAUGUUGAUUGAUGUAAUUCCCACGUUAAAACUCUUGAAAUUGCAAGUUUAAUUUGUAGUCAUGACGCUUAUGUGUUGUUCAUUAUCAUGUCCAUUAAUCAUGCCCCUGAAGUAUUUGAUAAAAUGUCCAUAUAAGUAAAUUAUGCAUGGUAACCUAUUGUUGUGUUGCUAAAGUUGUGACAUGAGUUUAUCAAUUAUGCUAUCGAGUACUGGGGGUAUUUAUUACCCAAAAUCUAGUUUUUUACUUAGUUGCAGUAGUUAUCGAAUAGUCCCAGUAAAGGUCAAGAAUAGUAGUACUCAGUCAGUAACAGAACUCUGUGAACUCAGUCCAGUUCAGUCAAUCAAUAUGAUCAGUGUCAGUUCAGUUAAGCCUAGUACAGUCUAGUGAUUAGUUCAGUGUCGAUUCGGUUAGGAGUAUGAUUCAGUACCGAGCGAACCUAGGAAUAGGGGUAUUCCUGCCACCAGAGGGUUUGACCCUUAGUAGUAGUCCUUGCGUUACAGUACUACGUAGCCAACAUAGGCUAAGUCAUCCUCUUACCAGACUAGGAUUGAUGCCAUCAUAUAUAUAUAUUUAAUGAGUCUUCCUGCCAUAUUAGGGUUGACCCUGUAUUGUUAGUAUCCCAUGGUAAGGUACUAGAACCCUUCCAACUGAGGUCACAGGUUGGACCCUAAAUCAAUCUAUAUCGGGGUAGGUCAGUUGGAUGAACACUCCCAUAGUUACAGUUUAGUCUCAGUAUUUAGUAAAGAACACAAUCAGUUCUAUAAAACCAUGGCUAUUAGUUAUUAGUUACUCAACCAUCAGAAUUCAGUACUCAGUUUUAGUAUAAUCUCAGAUACACGAUGUAUACCUAUAUACAUAGUAUUACAUGUUUAGUAUAUUCAGUAGUUACAAUUUUGCAUGUACUCACAUCUAGUUACUUCGUGAUGUUCAUUCAGUCAAUUAUCAUCUCAUGUAUAUGAGCCCAUGUAUAUUAGCAUUACCCCACUUAGCAUACUAGUACUUCCACGUAAUGAUGCGUACUCUCCUUUUUGCACUAUGAUGCCUCAUAUCAUAGGUUCGGACGCUCAGGCUCCUAACCAUAUUUAGCAGCUCAAGCUAUCAGCAGCAGAUAUAGUGGUGAGUCCUCAUAUUUUGAGGACAGAGUUUAUCUAUUUUAGUAUUUCAGUAGUUCAGUAGUUAUUUCAAUCGGAGUUAGUUGGGGGUUUGUCCCAUAAACUCCAUAUUCAGAUAGUUAGAGGCUUUCAGACUAGUAUUGCUAGUUAUUUAGUUUUCAGAUAUUGUUUUCAAUUAUACUCAGUUAUUAUUUCAAUAUUUUGAAAACCUUAUGGCAUUUUUAGAUCUCUUUUGUAUAUAUAAUGCUCAUAGCAAGUACCAUUCAUGGGUUAGCUUAUGGUUCUUUGGGAUUGUAAGUACCGUGUGAUGCCCAGGGUGUAGUCUCGGGGCAUUACAGAAAGAAUGUCAAAUCAAAAAUUGAAUAAGGAGAAAAGCUCGCUAUAUUUAUAUAAGGGAGUUUCUCAUGGUGUUGUUGUUCUGGCAAAAGUGGUUAAUGGAAUUUUAAAGAAAAACUUUCCUUUCAACUACCUUGGGUGCCCUGUAUUUCACAUGAGAAAGAAGAAGGAUUACUAUCAGACAAUUAUGAGCAGAAUCAGUGGGAAGUUACAGGGAUGGAAUGGGAAGAUGGUGUCUUACAGGGUUAGAGAUACUCUCAUCAAACAUGUGUUACAAAUCAUCCCAAUCCAUGGUUUGUCAUUGAUGAACCCUUCUCUCAAUGUUAUGACUACUAUUCAUUGAAUGUUUACUUAAUUUUUCUAGAGUACUCAUAUAGGGGGAAAGAGGAUAAACUAGGUUAAAUGGAGAAAGUUGUGUGUGUUGAAGGAAGAGCAAGGAUUAGGGUUCAGGAAUAUCAAAGAUGUUUCAAUGGCCUUAUUCUGCAAGCUAUGGUGGAAUUUUUGAAAAAAGACUCAAUAUGGAGUAGAUAUAUGUAUAAUAAGUAUUAUAGGAAACAUCAUCCAAAUAAGAUUGUGUGAAAAAUAGGAGUUGGAUCUCAGGUUUGAAAGAAGAUGUUACAUGCAAGGGAUUUAGUGGAGCAUCAAAUAAUAUGGAGAAGCAAAAGUGGAAACACAAAUUUGUGGUUUGAUAAUUGGACCAGGGAAGGAGAUUUGUAUACUUUGGUGCAGAAUUCAAGGGAUUAGGACAAUAAUUAUCAAAAGGUGAAAGAUUUAAUGUAGGAUAGAGCUUGGAAUGAGCAGGUGAUGUCUCAAAUGUUUCCAGUAGAGAUUUCAGAUCAUAUCAUUCAAACAAGCAGGAUACUAAAAAGGAGAGAGAUGAUCGAUAUUCCAAUGUGAAAGCUUGAUCCCACUGGAAAUUUCACCAUCAAAUCAACUUGGAACUACAUUAGACAAAGGGAGGAGAAGAAUAUAUUAUACAAGAAUAUAUGGAUCAAGGGUUUGCCUUUUAAAAUGGCCUUCUUAAUAUGGGCAGUAGAUCAUAAUUUGAGAAGAUGGGAGAUUGAAGGGCGUACUAGGUGCUGGUGUUGCACCACGCCAGAUCAAGAAACUACUUCACAUGUGUUUCUUCAGUUAGGCACUGCUAACAAGACAUGGUCAUAUUUCUCUUGUUUUGAAGGUAUUAAUAUGAAUAAAGCAAGCAUCAGAGAACUUAUCAUAAAUUGGUGGAAAGAUGAAGUGUCAGGAAUAGUUAGAGCCUACUAUCAAUCUAUUCCCAGUAUGAUAUUGUGGGAAUUGUGGAGAAAAAGGAAUAGCUCUAAGUGUGAAGGUAAAAAUUUGUCAACUCAUAGGGUAAUAUUCAAUAUUAAUAGAAAUAUUGGAUUAUUACUCAAGGUGAGAAAUCCGAGAAAAUUUUUUUCCAGCUAUGUGUCCAGAUAUAAAGCAUGAUUUAGAAAACAGAAGAUCCAGAGUAAAGAUCACAUGGGUAGAAUGGAAGUUUCCAUAGGAGGGAUGGAUUAACUACAACACGGAUGGGGUUUUUAGAGGUAAUCCUGGUGUGAGUCUUAUGAUUUUUGCCUAAGGGAUGAAAGAGAAGAUCUAAUUUAUGCACAAGGAUUACUACAAAUAUGUAAGCAGAAGCAUAUGCUAUUCUUAAAGAAGAAAUUCACUAUGGGCAAUCUGAAUUAAGGUCAUUUUUCAAACGGAUUCUCUUAUCAUGUUGAAGAUACUGACUAAUGAAUGGAGAUGUCCAUGGAACUUGCUAGAUUCUAUAGAUCAUAUUAGAGAAACACUGAAAGAAAAACAAGUUCAAUUCCCACACAUAAUGAGGAAGGGAAUUAGUUGGCUGAUCAUUUAACAAAUUUAGCAAUAGACAAAGGGAUUUCAGCAUAACAUCAUUUCAAUAAUUAUAAGUUAAAGGAAAGAAGAUCCUUAACAGUGAAAAGCUACAAUGUCCAUACAUUAGAUUAUCAUUAACAAAACGAUGAUAAGAUUGAAGGCCACAGUAAAGUACUACCAGGGAUCACAAGCAAACAUUUAUAAUACAGGAGGGCAAUAACAAAACCCAAAAACUGACUUACCUGUAUAAAUUCAUCCAUAAAAAAGACUCUUAGUAAUAUCUAUGCAUCUAAUACACCUGAGAAGUAGAAGGUAGUUCAAAUAUUUAUGGCUCCGAGUAUCCAGUUAUCUCCCUCCCAGCCACAUCUGUACGCAAAGAGGAGUAAAUAGGAAGCUACAAUUGAGAAAGAAGGAUAGAUAGAAGAAAUCAUAGUUUAUGUGGACAUGCAAUUAGUCUUAAGGACCUACGAUCCUUAAUUAAGCACCAAAAAAGAAGAAACAUUCCAUCCACCAAAGAACUCACCUAUAUACAAGCAGAAAUAGAGGAAAAAAGUUUAAAAAUGAAGAAGUUGAGAUGAAUAGUAAUAUUCAAAGGCAACAAAGGGAUAAAUUCUUACUUUUGAGAGAUGAAGAUAGUACAGUAUCGACGAUCUAGGGCAAAGUGUUGAUGACCCAAAGCACAAGCAAGAUAAAUUAAAGAUUCAGGGGAGAGCGCAUCAUUUUUCACCUGGAAAUGAGCUUAAUCAGCGGAGAAGAAGACAACAAAGUGAAUUAGGAAACCCUAAGGGACCUUGUAUACGUCUCAAUCAAUUAGGUUUGGC